Molecule: long non-coding RNA, 55041 nt
Filed under: Triticum aestivum (bread wheat)
Lineage: Eukaryota; Viridiplantae; Streptophyta; Magnoliopsida; Poales; Poaceae
Description: long non-coding RNA (TAES_LNC025096)
Source: RNAcentral
AGCGACACAUGCACGCUGGAAAUGGACCGGUUGUCGUAUGCACCCAGAAGAAACACUCAUAACAGGCUGCAUGGUCAGAGCAGGGAUAGUGCGUUGUGAAUUGAUUUUUGCCAGCAUCAUCGACAUCAUGUCCUUGUAGCUUCUUCGGUCAGCAGCAGCAGCUUCGUCGCCACUCUCUUGCAGAUACUCCCAUACACGACGGAGCUAUGCGAGGCGUAACUUAUGUCAUGUUUACUCUACUUAUAGUAUGAGCUGGUGGUGGUAGUUAGUAUUAGGGGGCCUUGCUUCUUUUUUCCGGAGGUUUUGGUCCAGUAUUCUUGUGUUGGUUUUAGCUUAGGGAUGUGAUGUCCACUGUGUGAACCAUGUAAAGGCAAGCGGGGGUAUCUAUAUUUUUGUUGUUGUAUAAAAACUUGACAUGGUGCUACUGACAAAGGAGGCGAGGACAAUGAAAACAUUAGUUCGUGUGUGAUCAUGUUUUACUUAACGGCCCAGAGUUUGCAUGUGUUUUUUCUUGCCAGAAGUGUUUUUUUAAGGGCCAUAAGUGUCUCUAAAUGUGAGUUGUUUUGGCAAUGUCUUUGAAUAUCUGUAUUUCUUAUUGGACCGCCUUUUUUAGGAGCUGUAAUCUAUUGUUUUUGCUUGGUGUCUUAAUCAGCUUUGCGGUACAUGAGAUCUUUUUUAGGGAAAAACAUAUAAUUUUAUUCACACAUAAUGGUUAUAGGUACACUAAUUUGAAUUUAAGAUAAAAAACAAAGUAACUCAAAAAAAUGAGGAAGAAUUACAGUGGUAUCUAUUUGGAAUAUCUUCUUUGUGGUGUCAAUCUCUGUGAGACGAAAUACUCCUAAAACUUCAAUAAGGAGGCUGCAAUUAGAAUGGAGCAGCGAUGAUGUCACUCUUUCACCCACACACAAGCAUUACCAAUAAAGAUUUUUGAAAGCCCCUUGAGUCUCCCAUUCAAAAAGAUGGGAAGCUUUGAGCGUUGAAUAUACUUUGGCUGGGGAUGGUCCCCUAGAAGCACAUGCCAUAGAAUCACAAUAUCUUCACCAUGGUGUCAAUGAAAUAUUUAAUCUCCAUAGAGGAAAAAGCUUGACACGCUAACAUAAACUCAUCAGACCUAACUAACUGGAUUUGUGAGGACACAAAACUCUCUAACUUUCUGGCACCACCAAAAAAGAACAAGAGUAAUAUUGUUCUCAUAAAAUAACAAUCACCACCAAACACUGACGAAGAUAUAACUCUUGUAGACCCGAGGUUUCCUCACAUCUCAGCGCCAAAAUGACAGCGAAGGUGAAGGGACCAAAAUUUCUUUGGCAGCGGCGAUAGUUCUUUGGGAACACUCACAUGCACGGGUCCUCUUAUUUAGCGACCUAUGUGUGGGACAACACACAAACGUGCACCCCCUCCCUUCUCCCGUGCACGAUUGGGACUGCCCGUGUGUGGGCGCGUGGCACCCUGGUUUUUUUUAUCCUUUUUCUUUCUUUUAUAACUUCAAAAAAUGAUUGAGAUUUCAACAAAUAUCAAUUUCAUGAAUUGGGAAAAGGUUUCUGGAUUUUAAAAAAAGUUCAUGGAUUUGAAAAAGAGCUAAGAUUUCAAAAAGUUCCUAAAUUUCAAAUAUUUUUCACGAAUUAAAAAAAUGCUCCUGGAUUUCAAAAAUAGUUCAGGAGAUUAAAAAAAUGCUCCUAAAUAUCAAUAAAUGUCCGGAAUUUAAAAACUGUUGCAAUUGUAAAAAAUAUUAUGAACUUGAAAAAGGUUUAUGGAUUUAAAAAAUUAUUUAUGAAUUUUAUUCUUUCUAGAAUUGUCAUAAAUAUAAAAAUAUAUUCAAAAUAGCGCUCUGAAUUUCAAAAGAACAUUCCGAAUUUCAAACAAGUUCAUCAAUUUGAAAAUCUUCCUAGAUUUUAAAGAAUGUUCAUAAAUUGAUUUUUUUUCAAGUAUUUGAAAUAUAGAAAAAAAUUCCAGGUUUCAAAAAAUGUUCAUGAAUUUAAUAAAAAGCUGUUUGAAAAAAUGCGAAAUAAAACGAAAACUUAAAAAAAGAAAAACAAUGAAAACUAAAAUAAAAAUAUUUCACAGUGCCACAGCUCCCGCGCCAGGUUGUGCGAUUGCCCGGUAUACCCCCACAAUACAGGUGGAGUAGGAUUGUUAAAAUAAAUACAUUUUUGAAAUUUCUUGACCAUAUUUUUGAAAACAAGAACAAUAAAUAAAUUUCGUUAACUUUAAUUUUAUUGCAUGCGAGCAUAUUUUUUAAAGUCGUUAUAUUUUUCAUUUUACCUUUUUUUAACCUUUGUAUGCAGCCGGUUUGCCUUGUGGAAUUGGGCUAAAAAACUAAACAUACAUAAAAGAAAAUCACUCUUUGCUCAGAACGCAUAUAGCAUCAUAUAGGGGCUCCCGUGAAAAAGAAAGUUCCAAGAGAUGAGGAUGUCUUAACUUUUUAUGGAUAAAUAGACAAAUAGCUUUCCUUCACGUUGGUCAAUUUGUAAGUUGUUGUCAUCUCAUUACAGAGGGGGAAAAGAAAAGAUACCUAAGUUGGUGAAGUUGAGGUGAUUGCUAUCUUCAGCGUCUAUUGCUCCACGAAUGCACCCUUCUAGGUCUUCGUCUUCAGCAUACGCGGACGGCAAGCAAGGUCGCGACUCGCACGAUAGGAAGGUUCCGUCGACCGGGUCCUCAUUCAGUCAUCCUCGCUGCUCGUGGACAACACAUGCUAAUCACCAGACCGUGAGCGUUUUUCCUGGGUACCUCACUUACACGGCGGCACCUACUAGAUAUCAUGACCUGAUCAGCACCAGUCUGACCGCAUCAUUGAUCGAUAUCUUUUUGCACGAGAAACUUUCAACCUAUUCGGGCAGUGGAAAGAACAUCAGAGAUAACAGAAGUUACAGUUAGGUUCAUGGAUCACCUAUCAACGACUACAAGCUCUGGAGGAAGUCGAAGGCAUGCCGUUGACGUCGCCCCCACCCAAGCCAGAAAAACCUUGUUACAGUGGACAGUCGAAAAGUCGCUGCACUAAAGUUUCACAUAAUCAGCGCACCAGAGCAACAAUCAUCAUGGACGAAGAGAGUCAUAGAUCGAAAAGAUCAAAUCUAUAAAAACACAUGAAUGAAGAUUAUCCAAAUAGAUUCACCGAAAACCAGCAUCAACUGAACCCCACGGAAAAAGGAAAAGGAAAGAAGAAGAAAACCGUACCUGCGCUAAAAUGGGUUGGCUCAUUAUGGGCUACGGUCACUAGUUAAGGAUUGUCUCACGCAAAGGUCAGUUCCAUUUUCUCAGACGCUGACAAGUGGCACACUAUAUAUGUGUCAAUUGUCGCAACCUAUGGUUUUCUCUUUUUUUUCCGUAGAUUUUGUUUAUUUAAAAUGUUUAUCACUCAAAUCGUGCGUCUAAAUUCCAAAUAGUUUUUACCACUGGAUUUCUCGUUGCAACUAGACCCCAUGUUAAUAGGGAUUUUUUGUCAAAAGAGACCACCCGCCGGAUUGAAAUGACAAAAAAGACCACCUCUGAAUCAGAUUGACAAAAAAGACCCCCUCGUCGUGGCGGCAGACGCGGCAGGUGACACGUGGCGCCUGCCGCCACGACGUGAGGCGGCCGGCCCCGCCGCCACGCUGCGAGGCGGCCAGUCAUGGGCAACAGAAAUCCAGGCCAGCGACGGAACGGAGCUACGUAUGAUGGGCCACGCCGCCACCGUAUGAGGCGGCCGGUAGUGUAGCCCUGGGAGCGGCAUUGUAGCGUGCACUGCUGCUGCUGGGCCAUGCCGCCACCAGUUGAGGCGGCUGGCACUGCUACUGGUGCAAAGAGGGACGAGCUGCACUGCUGCUGCUGCACGCGGCCUGCCGUGGGCGGGCACUAUAUUACUAAUUAACUAAUUUGUCUCGCAUAUAUGCUACACAGAUUGCAGCGUUCAACCUUUGAUGCAAUUUAUUUUUAAUUUUAGCAUUGCGUGUGUCAUCAUGUCCACUAGAAUAUAUGGGUUUUGAUAAAUAGAAAUGAAGAGGAAACAACCUGCGGUUCGGUUGACUUGAUAAACUUACAGAGAAGACCUAUUGAUUCAUCAUAAGUGAGAGUAUUGUUAGAACAAUUUUAAAGGUAAUAUAUAUGCACAAAUUAUUUUAAAGGUAAUAUAUAUGUGCAGCAGCAGCAGUGCAGCUCGUCCCGCUACAGUGCAGCGCGUAGCAGCUACAGUGCCGGCCGCCUCGACGGGUGGUGGCAUGGCCCUGCAGCAGCAGUGCGUCGCUACAGUGCCGCUCCCAGGGCUACAGUGCUGGCCGCCUCAGCAGGUGACGGCAUGCCCCCCCCCCCAUACCCAGCUCCGUUCCGUCGCUGGCCUGGAUUUCAGUUGCCAGGGACUGGCCGCCUGGCAGCAUGGCGGCGGGGCCGGCCGCCUCACGUCGUGGCGGCAGGUGGCACGUGUCGCUUGGCGCGCCUGCCGCCACGGCAAGGGGGUCUCUUUUGCAAAUCUGACCCAGAGGUGGUCUUUUUUGCCAUUUGGAUCCGGCAGGCGGUCUCUUUUAACAAAAAAUCGUUAAUAGGUUUCGUCAAUCUUUUUUUCUCGACAAUCCAGAAACGAAAAAAAUCCCCAAAAAAUGAAAAAAAAACCCGGCAACUGAUAAAAAGACACAAAAUGAGGAAAACCAGAUCUUUUUUCACUUUUUGAGAAGCACAACGCAGAAGCAAAUUGUACUUGCAUGAGAAGCAAAGAUGUACUUCUCGUGGAAGCAUAUACUUUUUUCCCUUUCCGAGAAGUGUGCUUCUCACGGAAGCAAAUCUAUAACACAAAUCUUGUUCCUUCCGGAAGCAUACAUUUCUUUUCCGAGUAGCACGCGGAAGCAAAUCUGUGCUUCUUGUGGAAGCACAAAAUCCCCCCCUCCCCCUUUUCGAGGAACACAAUACGGAAACAAAUAUGUGCUUCUCGUGGAAGCACAUAUUUUAUCCCUUUUCGAGAAGCACAACUGUUCUUCUUGCAGAAGCAAAUAUAUGCUUCUCAUGGAAGCACAUUUUUUCCUUUUCGGAAGCACAACUCGCGCAAGCAAAUCUACACUUCUUGUCGAAGCAUAAUUUGUUUUCGGGCAAAAAAUCCAUAAUUUUCUCUCUCAAAACCUUGGGAAAACCAGACAAAAAUCAAAAAGCUGAAAAACAAGAAAAAACCCAUCUAAACCACUAAAUGUGUACAAUUUUUUUUUGAAAUCCAGAGGGACCAUUCAGCACGCGACAUGUGACAGCAGCUGGACGCAUCACUCAACAUGCUCGCAUUAACAACCUCCAGUUAGUUGCUCUCCAGCAAGAAGCUCGAGGGUCCAGAGUCCAAACGGGGAGCAAAAUCACUCAACAUCAAAAUCGGAGCCGCCAUGGCCUCGACGUUGUGGUCGUUUGUUUGGCGUUUCUGUGGCCAGGUUGUCCGCAUGUGCCCCUUGUGGGGUGUUUGUAUGUAGGUUUUCGCUCGGUUUUUUUAAUUAAUCAAGCAACUCUCUUCUUUUUAAUCAAUGAAAAUGGUAAAUUUUUUGUCUUGUUUUAAAAAAAAGAGUUUAAACGAGGAGCAAAAUCACUGAUAGGCCUCCACGUUUUCACGGACCAUUAAGCUUGAGCCCGUAUCCCUUUCCAUUUUCCCUCUGUAACUCUCAGCCCAUUCAAGGGCCGAGGAUGCUCUCUAGACUUUUCUUGGAUAGAUAGCUUUUCUCCAAGUUGGGCAUCGUCCCCAUGAAAAGCAAAAAAAGAAAAAAUGAAGCAAGUUGUUGUCACCUCGUCAACCAAAGACGAAGAAAAGAAAGAGGAGGAAAGAAAAGGUGCCCAAGGUUGUCAAGUUGAGGCGAUUGCUAAGAUUGCUAUCUGCACCUUUCUUUUUCCACGCCGCGGUUCACAUAUUCUCCUGUCGAGAGUUGCCUUACGCGGACGGCACGAGAGAGAUAGGAACGUUGCUUCCAUCCAUGUCGAGUCAACCUCCUCCUCCUCCUCCUCCUCCUCCUCCUCCUCCUUCUUCUUCUUCUUCUUCUCGCUGCUCGUGGACGGACGGCCGCAAGCGUGUUUCCCUGGGUUCGUUGCUACUUGCUACGUACUCCGUGGCCGUGAGCUGACCCUUUCUGGCCGCAUCUUCAUCGUCCUCCCGUGAAAGCGGAAGCAUGCGUCCUUCCGGCCACGAACGGAAAUGGAGUAUGGAAUAUGGGACGGGGUGCAUGGACCGGUGAGAAGCAUGCACGUGCCGACGACUCCGGUGGAUCGGGCCAAAUAGCGGCGACCGGCGUAGCUUUGCUCGUCAACGUACCCGGCUCGACAACGAACGUUGAAACCAAGUAGCCGACAACCAAAUGAAAUGCGCGGGGGCCACUAGCUAGCUAGCCCACGGGGUGGUCAGACUCAGACGGCCGGAGGCCCGCCGUUGGAAAACCAGGGUCCAUCGGCGGCUGCCGCGCAGGUACCAGCUCACCCGGCCGGCCACAUGAUGUCUCCUGGCCAAGCCAGUUGUGCGGCAGGGUGGACACGGUCUGAGCCGGUCCAGUCCCUGACCGAGCCGUGCUUUGGACCGGCCGCGACCGGUCCGGACCGGACCGGACCGAAGUGCCCAGCGGGCCUGUUUUCCUGGACCGGACCGGCGAGGAGAAAGCUCGGUCAGGACUCAGGACCGAGGGACCGAGCGAUGGAGGAGGGACGUGAGCUGCGUGUGUGCCUUGCGCCGGCCUGCGUUCGUCUGUGUCGUGCCCUGUCCUAAAGAUCAACUACUCCGGCUGCUUGCUGCAGACGAAGAGGCAGUUCAUCUAUGGUUGCAUCUCUGCCAACAUCAAGCUCGUCCUGGAGAACUCCGCCGCCCGUCGGCACCGUUACCGUCAGCACAUCGGCACUUCCAGUUUCAGAUUGCUAAUCAGCUUGUACUGCAGGACGGCGUCAAGUAGGUGCUUUCAAGAGGUAUGUACAUCGGCGCUUCCACUUUCAGAUUGCUAAUCAGCAUGUACUGCAUACAAUUCUAACUGUAUGUGCAUCAAUUAAUUGCCAAAUUCAGACAUUGGGACAAUCAUGACGAGAUCAACUUCCAGUUCAUGGGGAACAAGACGGGGCACACCAACGUGUGUGUGUUCUCCGACGUGUUUGUCUGCAACAGAGGUGCCCUUGGAACGAACCCACGCGAACGAGAGAUUGCUGAAGAAAAAAAAAGGAAGAUACAGGUGUUUUGCGCUGCACAAACUUCAGACCUUUUCUGUUCUAUUAGUCAGACUUACAGAACGGGAAACAAGACUUCGUGGCCCCUGACUUUGGGUCGUCGUGAUUCACAACACUGGUGCCGUUCCACGAGCAGACCGACGAGGCACGAGUCUGGCUCCAGGCAGUUAGACCCGCGAGCUAAACUAGCUAACAGAAGGAAAGUGUUCGAGCCUAACUUGACGAAAAACCAAAGUGCUAACUGAACUAACUGAAAACAUGACAGGAGCUUCGGAUUUAUUCAAGAGUGUUCGCCGACACGACGGGCAAAGAAUGAGAUACAGUUCGUGCCCUGCGUGCCUGCGUGCACAGGUUGCACUGCUUCAUCACGUCAGUAAGGCCGGGACUUGACGACUGCGACAAAAUUGAUGGCGGCAGACAGACGGCGGCCUUGAUCGGGGAAGAGAGGGUGCGUGCGUCGUGUAGGCGGUGUUCUGGACCAAUUCAUCGCACAGGCAGGAAGAUGGGGAUGCGGCGGUGCUCGGAGACGCGGUGGUUCGCUCGGGGGUUGCCGGUGGCCGUGACGAUGAGGAACGAGGACUGCGUUUUGUCGGUCCUCCUUGGGGGCUCGGUCAAAAUCCAGACCGGACCGAGAGUUUGUCGGGCCUAAUUGCUGAGCUCGGCCUGACCAUUUUUUCUACCGGGCCAGGACCGUAUGGUCCGGUCUAUAACGGGCCAGAAGCCCGCUCGUCACGUCCAGGCUGAGUUGUGCCUCCUGGCCUAGCGUCCUGCCAUGUCAACCAGCAGUUUUUUUUUGGUGGGGGGGAGAGGGUGGGAAAGGGGACAUGUAUACAUAUACGUAAGCCUGGGUUUUGUAUGCCACACCUGCAAUGUCUUUCUCCCUCUGUAUGCAGUGGUGAAUUUUGGAUGAAAAUGAAGGCCAGGCUCAACUUCUCAGUACAUGGGUUGGAACGGGUAGACAACAGGCUAGACACUUGACAAUGGGCUGAGAUGAGCUAGGAACCAGUAGCAAAUUUUUGUUUUACAAUUUCUGAGGGCAGGCUUGAGCCUGUUAAAGCAUGCCCAUAGAAUCGCCACUGUCUGUAUGUACUUGUAUUUUGGGAGACAAGACACCGAUCGCAUCCCUUGUACCUAUAUAUAUGUGCCUAGUGCACGAUCGAUCAAUUAUUGAUGUACCAAAUCAUUCUCUACAUGGUAUAAAAUAGCAUCACGGUCCUCUCCUAACAACCGCUUCCGCCUACCCUAGCCGCCGCCAUUUGCUACCACCGCCCCACGCCGCCGCCGCUACCCUCUCCCCGGGCCGCGCCUCCCCUCCCAGGCGCGCCCUCCCCCCUGCCGCGCCGCCUCCCCCGCCGCGCCGCACCUCCUGCCACGCCGCACCCUCACCCAACCCCAACCGCCGCUUCUCCCUCUCAUCACCGCGCCGUCGCCAUGUUGACCAACGCCUCCACCUACUCCAACCCCUUCGCCGGGCCGGACCCCGCUGACAUCCACGACAUCAACAUCCACGAACGCGUCCCUAUCGUUCUCGAUGCCACCGACUCCACGUACUUCGCGUGGAAGACGUACUUUUCACUACUCUUCCACGAGAAUAAUCUCAUGGAUCAUGUUGACGGCACCGUCGAAUCCCGCGCCAUGGUGGGCGACUCCGAGUGGACCGCGAUCGACGCCAUGCUCAUCUGGUGGUUCUUCACCACCAUCUCGAAGGACCUGUUUCAUAUGGUCAUGAGCGAUGGUGAUGACUAAAGGAAAUAUUCCCUAGAGGCAACAACAAAGUUGUUAUUUAUAUUUCCUUAUAUCAUGAUAAAUGUUUAUUAUUCAUGCUAGAAUUGUAUUAAUCGGAAACUUGAUACAUGUGUGAAUAUAUAGACAAAACAAAGUGUCCCUAGUACGCCAUUACUUGACUAGCUCGUUAAUCAAAGAUGGUUAAGUUUCCUGACCAUAGACAUGUGUUGUCAUUUGAUGAAUGAGAUCACAUCAUUAGGAGAAUGAUGUGAUGGACAAGACCCAUCCGUUAGCUUAGCAUAAUGAUCGUUAAGUUUUAUUGCUAUUGCUUUCUUCAUGACUUAUACAUAUUCCUUUGACUAUGAAAUUAUGCAACUCUUGAAUACCGGAGGAACACCUUGUGUGCUAUCAAACGUCACAACGUAACUAGGAGAUCAUAAAGAUGCUCUACAGGUGUCUCCGAAGGUGUUUGUUGGGUUGGCAUAGAUCAAGAUUAGGAUUUGUCACUCCAAGUAUCGGAGAGGUAUCUCUGGGCCCUCUCGGUAAUGCACAUCACUAUAAGCCUUGCAAGCAAUGUGACUAAUGAGUUAGUUAUGAGAUGAUGCAUUACGGAACGAGUAAAGAGACUUGCCGGUAACGAGAUUGAACUAGGUAUGAGGAUACCGACGAUCGAAUCUCGAGCAAGUAACAUACCAAUGACAAAGGGAAUGACGUAUGUUGUUAUUGCGGUUUGACCGAUAAAGUUCUUCGUGGAAUAUGUAGGAACCAAUAUGAGCAUCCAGGUUCCGUUGUUGGUUAUUGAUCGAAGAUAUGUCUCGAUCAUGUCUACAUAGUUCUCGAACCUAUAGGGUCCGCACGCUUAACGUUCGAUGACGAUUUGUAUUAUGAGUUAUGUGUUUUGGUGACCGAAGGUUGUUCGGAGUCCCGGAUGAGAUCACGGACAUGACGAGGACUCUCGAAAUAGUCUAAAGGUAAAGAUUGAUAUAUUGGACGAUAGUAUGUGGACACCGGAAUGGUUUUGGGACAUUUCAGAUAUUUAUCGAAGCACCGAGGGGUUACCGGAACCCCCGGGGAAAGUAAUGGGCCUACAUGGGCCAUAGGGGAGAGGGGAGGCAGCCCACAAGGGGUGGCCGCGCCCCCUCCCCAUAGGGAGUCCGAAUUGGACUAGGGGAGGGGGCGUGCCCCCCUUUCCUUCUCCUCUUCUCUCUCCCUUUCCUCUUUCCCCUCCAUGAGAAGGAAAAGGGGGGGAUCCUACUAGGACUGGAGUCCUAGUAGGACUCCCCUCUCCUUGGCGCACCCCUGGUGGCCGGCCUCCUCCUCUCCUCCUUUAUAUAUGAGGGAAGGGGCACCCCAAAGCACAACAGUUAUUCUCUUAGCCGUGUGCGGUGCCCCCUCCAAAAUUUACUCCUCCGGUCAUAGUGUCGUAGUGCUUAGGCGAAGCCCUGCGCGGAUCACAUCACCACACCGUCGUGCUGACGAAACUCUCCCUCGACCCUCUGCUGGAUCAAGAGUUCGAGGGACGUCAUCGAGUGAACGUGUGCUCAACUCGGAGGUGCCGUACAUUCGGUACUUGAUCGGUUGGAUCAUGAAGACGUUCGACUGCAUCAACCACGUUAACCUAAUGCUUCCGCUCUCGGUCUACAAGGGUACGUGGACACACUCUCCCCCUCUCGUUGCUAUGCAUCUCCUAGAUAGAUCUUGCGUGAUCGUAGGAAUUUUUUGAAAUUGCAUUCUACGUUCCCCUAAAAUGACGCCCGCGCCGUGUGGGUCAAGCUCUACGGCCUCUUCACCAACAACAAGCUUCAGCGCCGCGUUUUUCUGCAGCAGGAAUUUUUUGACUGUCAUCAGGAUGACCAGUCCAUCGAUGACUACUAUCGCCGCCUGAAGACGUUGGCGGAUGAACUCCGUGACAUCAGCGCCAAGGUUGAUGACGACCUCCUCCUGAGCAUGCUCACCGCCGGCCUCAACGAGGACUUCGGCAACACCGCCUUCAACCUCACCUUGAUGCCGAAGCCCUCCUUCCCCAGGUUUGUGGCGUACUUGCAGUUGAAGGAGAGCCAUAUGAAGGGGUUCAAGAAGCGCGUGCAGCACCAUGCCCUCGCCGCUGGCACCUCCCAAUGCGCCGCGACAACAGCCACCGCCCCCAUGCCCCCGGGAUUUUUUCCCUCCCACCCACGCCCCGCCCCUCCCGCUGGCCCCCAGCAGUAGCCGCAGGGUGGCGGGCGGCACGGCAACCGCCGCGGGGGCGGCCGCAAGCAGCAACAACAGGCGCAACGGAGGGGGGGGGGGAAGGGGUGGGGGCUCGUCAACAGCAGCAGGCCACCCCACCAUGGACUUACGGCACCAAUCCGUGGACCGGUGUCGUUCACGUGUACAUAAUGCCGGUCCCUCGGUCUCCUACCCUGGGCAUCCUUGGGCCCCGUUUCGCGAGCCAGCAGGCGUUCUUCACCGCGCCCAACGCUGCCCCUACCUGGCUUCGCCGGCCAUGGGCGGCUACAGCACCGCCCCCGCGCCUGCCAACGGCGGGUUCUACCCGCCCCAUUUGCCGCCGCCGUGUGAUCUCGCGCUCCUCGCCACCCUGCAUUCGGUCCCGUCACUGAGUAACUAUGGUGGCGGCGGUGAUUGGUACAUGGACUCGGGCCCCACUGCUCACAUGACUGCUCAUCCCGGUAACCUCACGUCUUCCACUCCCAUUCAUACUCCUGCUCGCAUCACCGUUGGUAACGGUUCCUCUCUACCCAUUACACAUGUCAGUCAUAUGGCGUUUGAUAACCCACAAGUAUAGGGGAUCACAUCAGUUUUCGAUAAGUAAGAGUGUCGAACCCAACGAGGAGCUAAAGGCAGAACAAAUAUUCCCUCAAGUUCUAUUGACCACCGAUACAACUCUACGCAUGCUUGAUGUUCGCUUUACCUAGAACAAGCAUGAAACUAGAAGUACUUUGUAGGUGUUGUUGUAUAAGUUUGCAAGAUAAUAAAGAGCAAGUAAAUAAAAAGUAGGGGCUGUUUAGAUAAACACACAACUAAGUUAGUUUUAGUAGAGUGGUUUUUGUUACAAAAAAGUUAUUUGUCCCUAGGCAAUCGAUAACUAGACCGAUAAUCAUUAUUCCAAUUUUAUAUGAGGGAGAGGCAUAAGCUAACAUACUUCCUCUACUUGGAUCAUAUGCACUUAUGAUUGGAACUCUAGCAAGCAUCCGCAACUACUAAAGAUCAUUAAGGUAAAACCCAACCAUAGCAUUAAAGCAUCAAGUCCUCUUUAUCCCAUACGCAACAACCCCCUUACUCGGGUUUGUGUUUCAGUCACUCACGCAACCCACUAUAAGCGAAUCAUGAACGUAUAGCAACACCCUACAACGGGGAUCCCUCACGCUUGCGCGACACGGAGAGCAGCAUAGGAGAACACCAAUAAUAAAACAUGCAACUCAAACCAAUCUUGAUCAUCUAAUAGCCCAUAGGACAAAAUGGAUCUACUCAAACAUCAUAGGAUAGCCAUACAUCAUUGGGAAAUAAUAUAUAGCGUUGAGCACCAUGUUUAAGUAGAGAUUACAGCGGGUAAGAGGGAGGUUACACUGCUGCAUAGAGGGGGAAGAGUUGGUGAUGAUGGCGGUGAAGUUGUUGCUGAAGAUUGCGGUGAUGAUGACGGCCCCCGGCGGCACUCCGGCGCCACCGGAAGCGAGGGGGAGGGAGCCCCCUCCUUCUUAUUCUUCCUUGACCUCCUCCCUAGAUGGGAGAAGGGUUUCCCCUCUGGUCCUUGGUCUCCAUGGCAUGGGAGGGGCGAGAGCCCCUCCGAGAUUGGAUCUGUCUCUCUGUCUCUCUCUGUUUCUGCGUUCUCAGAUCCUACCCUUUCACCGUUUCUUAUAUUCUCGGAGAUCCGUAACUCUGAUUGGGCUGAAAUUUUAACACGAUCUCUAUCCGGAUAUUAGCUUUCUUGCAGCGAAAGAAGGGCAUCAACCGCCUUACAGGUGGCCACGAGGGUCAGGGGCGCGCCUGCCCCCUGCCUCGUGGCCCCCUCGGGCAUCUUCUCGCGUGGAUUUUUCUUCCCAAAAAUCAUAUAUAUUCCAAAAAAAUCUCCGUCAAUUUUUAUCCCGUUUGGACUCCGUUUGAUAUGGAUAUUCUGCGAAACAAAAAACAUGCAACAAACAGGAACUGGCACUGGGCACUGGAUCAAUAUGUUAGUCCAAAAAAUAGUAUAAAAAGUUGCCAAGAGUAUAUGAAAGUUGUAGAAUAUUGGCAUGGAACAAUCAAAAAUUAUAGAUACGAUGGAGACGUAUCAGCAUCCCCAAGCUUAAUUCCUGCUCGUCCUCGAGUAGGUAAAUGAUAAAAAAAGAUAAUUUUUGAUGUGGAAUGCUACCUAGCAUAAUCUUGAUCAUGUAAUCUAAUCAUGGCAUGAAUAUUAAGAAAUGAGUGAUUCAAAGCAAUAGUCUAUCAUUUGACAUAAAAACAAUAAUACUUCAAGCCCACUAAUAAAGCAAUCAUGUCUUUUCAAAAUAACAAGGCCAAAGAAAGUUAUCCCUACAAAAUCAUAUAGUCUGGCUAUGCUCCAUCUUCACCACAUAAAAUAUUCACAUCAUGCACAACCCUGAUGACAAGCCAAGCAAUUGUUUCAUACUUUUGACGUUCUCAAACCUUUUCAACUUUCACGCAAUACAUGAGCGUGAGCCAUGGACAUAGAACUAUAGGUGGAAUAGAAUGGUGGUUGUGGAGAAGACAAAAAAGAGAAGAUAGUCUCACAUCAACUGGGCGUAUCAACGGGCUAUGGAGAUGCCCAUCAAUAGAUAUCAAUGUGAGUGAGUAGGGAUUGCCAUGCACCGGAUGCACUAGAGCUAUAAGUAUAUGAAAGCUCAAACUGAAACUAAGUGGGUGUGAAUCCAACUUGCUUGCUCAUGAAGACCUAGGGCAUUUGGAGAAGCCCAUCGUUGGAAUAUACAAGCCAAGUUCUAUAAUGAAAAAUUCCCACUAGUAUAUGAAAGUGAUAACUCAAGAGACUCUCUAUAUGAAGAACAUGGUGCUACUUUGAAGCACAAGUGUGAUAAAAGGAUAGUAACAUUGCCCAUUCUCUCUUUUUCUCUCAUUUUUUUUGUUUUUUUCUUCUUUUUUUGGGCCUUCUCUUUUUUUGGCCUUUCUCUUUUUUUUUCGUCCGGAGUCUCAUCCCGACUUGUGGGGGAAUCAUAGUCUCCAUCAUCCUUUCCUCACUGUGGCAAUGCUCUAAUAAUGAUGAUCAUCACACUUUUAUUUACUUACAACUCAAUAUUACAACUCGAUACUAGAACAAAGAUAUGACUCUAUAUGAAUGCCUCUAGUGGUGUACCGGGAUGUGCAAUGAUCUAGCGUAGCAAUGACAUCAAAAUACAGACAAGCCAUGAAAACAUCAUGCUAGCUAUCUUACGAUCAUGCAAAGCAAUAUGACAAUGAAUGCUCAAGUCAUGUAUAUGAUGAUGAUGGAAGUUGCAUGGCAAUAUAUCUCGGAAUGGCUAUGGAAAUGCCAUGAUAGGUAGGUAUGGUGGCUAUUUUGAGGAAGGUAUAUGGUGGGUUUAUGGUACCAGCGAAAGUUGCGCGAUACUAGAGAGGCUAGCAAUGGUGGAAGGGUGAGAGUGCGUAUAAUCCAUGGACUCAACAUUAGUCAUAAAGAACUCACAUACUUAUUGCAAAAGUCUAUUAGCUAUCGAAACAAAGUACUAUGUGCAUGCUCCUAGGGGGAUAGAUUGGUAGGAAAAGAACAUCGCUCAUCCCCGACUUCCACUCAUAAGGAAGACAAUCAAUAAAUAAAUCAUGCUCCGACUUCGUUACAUAACAGUUCACCAUACGUGCAUGCUACAGGAAUCACAAACCUCAACACAAGUAUUUCUACAAUCCACAACUACCCACUAGCACGACUCUAAUAUCACCAUUUUUAUAGCGCAAAACUAUUACAAGGAAUCAAACAUAUCAUAUUCAGUUAUCUACAAGUUUUAUGUAGGAUUUUAUGACUAACCAUGUGAAUGACCAAUUCCUGUAAUCUCUCUAAAUAGAUAUAAGUGAAGCAAGAGAGUUUAAUUCUUUCUACAAAAUAUAUGCCCAUGCUCUAACAAAUAUAAGUGAAGCAAAAGAGCAUUCUACAAAUGGCGGGUUUCUAUGUAAAGAGAAACAUGCAAUCCAAACUUCAAAUGAUAUAAGUGAAGCACAUGAAGCAUUCUAUAAAGCCAUACUCAAAAGAUAUAAGUGAAGUGCAUAGAGCAUUCUAUAAAUCAACCAAGGACUAUCUCAUACCAGCAUGGUGCAUAAAAGAAAAAUGAAAACUAAAUGCAAAAGACGCUCCAAGACUGCACAUAUCGCAUGAACGAAACGAAUCCGAAAACAUACCGAUACUUGUUGAAGAAAGAGGGGAUGCCUUCCGGGGCAUCCCCAAGCUUAGACGCUUGAGUCUCCUUGAAUAUUUACUAGGGGUGCCUCGGGCAUCCCCAAGCUUGAGCUCUUGCCUCUCUUCCUUCUUCUCACAUCGAGACCUUCUCGAUCAUCGAACACUUCAUCCACACAAAACUUCAACAGAAAACUCGGUAAGAUCCGUUAGUAUAAUAAAGCAAAUCACUACUCUAAGUACUGUUGCAAACCAAUUCAUAUUUUGUUUUUGCAUUGUGUCUACUGUAAUAUAACUUUUUCAUGGCUUAAUCCACUAAUAUAAAUUGAUAGUUUCAUCAAAACAAGCAAAUUAUGCAUCAAAAACAGAAUCUGUCUAAAACAGAACAGUCUGUAGUAAUCUGAACAUUCACCAUACUUAUGAUACUUUAAAAAUUCUACAAAAAUUAGGAAAAAUAAACAAUUUGUAUAGAAAUACAGUGCAAAAAGAAACAGAACCAUUUGACGUUCCAGCUAAAAAAUUUAAAAUCGCGCACUACAGCCAAAGUUUCUGUCCUGCACCGUACAAACCAUCAAGCAAAUGUAAACAUCCUAAAGGCAAACCUUGGCACAUUAUUUUUAUAAUAAAAUGGAAUUGUACAAGAGGAUAAUUAUUUUUAUUGAAAAGUUUCUGUAAUCAAGAUUCACAAAGUUGCCAUGAGCAUGAACAAAGUUCAAGGAGCUCUCCCACUUCAACAAUGCUUGUCUCUCUCACUUUCACUUUCCUUUUUGAAAAAGUUUUGGGUUCCCCUCUUUAUUUUUGUUGUUUUUAAACUAUAUAAAAGCACUCAACAGAAAUAAAUGACUCUCUAAAACUUCCAGGUUGUCUCCCUGGCAGCGCUUUCUUUAAAGCCAUUAAGCUAGGCAUAUAAUGCUCAAGUAGUGAAUCCACCCGGAUCCCAAGGUAUAUCAAAGCCAAUUUUAAUUAAAAAUGAUUUGUAAUUUAGUAGUGAGCACAAAGUAACAUAUAUCAUGUAACAACGAAGUCUAACUCUCUUCCUAUGCAUCGGCAUGUCAUAAAAGAACAAUUCAUGCACACAUAGUAAAGGCCAAUGCAUAGUAUAAACAGUUUCUUGUAAUUUUAUCGUGUGGGAAACAUAGAGAGGUGGAGAUAUAGUUCCUCUCUCUCAUAAUAAUUGCAAGUAGGAGCAGGAAGCAUAUGCAUAUUAUAUCUAUCAAAAUCAUCAUGUGUAGUAGUGAAACGCAACCCAUCAAUAUAAUCCUUAAUAAGGGCAAACUUCUCUGAUAUAGUGUACUCGGGAGAAUUCAAAAAGAUAAUAGGACUAUCAUGCGUGGGUGCAAUAGCAACAAUUUCAUGUUUAACAUAAGGAACUAUAGCAAGUUCAUCUCCAUAGGCAUAAUUCAUAUUGGCAUCUUGGCCACAAGCAUAGCAAGCAUCAUAAAAAAGGGAUAUUCCAAGAGAAUCAACGGGAUCAUAAUAGUCAUCAUAGCAAUCAUCCUUCGGUAAGUACGAAGGGAAAUUAAACAAUGUAUGAGUUGAAGAUUUACUCUCAUUAGAAGGUGGGCACGGGUAGCUAAUCCGCUCUUCCUCCUUUUGUUCUUUGUUCUCCUCAUCAUCUUUUUCAUCUAAUGAGAUCAUAGUUUCAUCAAUUUCUUCUUCCAUAGACUCCUGCAAAAUAUUAGUCUAUUCUCGGAUAGCGGAGUAGUCCUUAAUAUAUGGUUCAACAUAGGCAUUAGAAGCAUAAUUAUCAUAGCAAUAUUUAAGUAUGGCAAAAAUUUUAGAUUUGUAAAGAGUAGCAUCGUACUUUUCAAUCAAAGAAGCAAUUUCAUAAGCACCCUUAAAAGCAACAAAUUCUUCAAUUUGUUGAACAUCAUAGUAACUAUAAACACCUUUAGCAUACAAAGAUACGAUUCCAUUAUCACUAAACUCACAUUGAUAGGGAAGGUGUUUCUUAGGGUUUUCAGAACAACAAGUAAAAUCAUAUAUUUCACAUAAAUUCCAAGCAUAGCAUUGCAAAGGAUGAAUUUGACCCAGUAAAAGUUUCCCCUUUUCAAAUAUACGGUGUCUCACAUAACAAGCAUGCUCAUCUAAGGAUUUGCCCUCAACUAAGCUAGUUGGGGUUUCAUCACGAGCACAUAGGGAUCGAAGAUGAUCCAAGUAAUAAGCUUCAGGAGUGUGAUAGAUUUUGAGUGGUUCUUCAACCAUUGGUUCAGUAGGUACAACUAAAGUUUUUGGUAUUUUGUGUUUCCUACCCAUAACUAAAGAUAGAAAACAACUAAGAACAGCAAAUAAAAAUUACUUAGUGAUAAAGGAAACAAGCACACACGAGAAUAUUCACGCCACGCUAUUGCUCCCGGCAACGGCGCCAGAAAAAGGUCUUGAUAACCCACAAGUAUAGGGGAUCGCAACAGUUUUCGAUAAGUAAGAGUGUCGAACCCAACGAGGAGCUAAAGGCAGAACAAAUAUUCCCUCAAGUUCUAUUGACCACCGAUACAACUCUACGCACGCUUGAUGUUCGCUUUUCCUAGAACAAGUAUGAAACUAGAAGUACUUUGUAGGUGUUGUUGUAUAAGUUUGCAAGAUAAUAAAGAGCAAGUAAAUAAAAAGUAGGGGUUGUUUAGAUAAAGACACAACUAAGUUAUUUUUAAUAAAGUGGUUUUUGUUACGAGAAAGUUAUUUGUCCCUAGGCAAUCGAUAACUAGACUGGUAAUCAUUAUUGCAAUUUUAUAUGAGGGAGAGGCAUAAGCUAACAUACUUUCUCUACUUGGAUCAUAUGAACUUAUGAUUGGAACUCUAGCAAGCAUCCACAACUACUAAAGAUCAUUAAGGUAAAACCCAACCAUAGAAUUAAAGCAUCAAGUCCUCUUUAUCCCAUACGCAACAACCCCCUUACUCGGGUUUGUGUUUCAGUCACUCACACAACCCACUAUAAGCGAAUCAUGAACGUAUUACAACACCCUACAACGGGGACCCCUCACGCUUGUGCGACACGGAGAGCACCAUAGGACAGCACCAAUAAUAAAACAUGCAACUCAAACCAAUCUUGAUCAUCAAAUAGCCCAUAGGACAAAAUGGAUCUACAGGAAAAUCAUAGGAUAGACAUACAUCAUUGGGAAAUAAUAUAUAGCGUUGAGCACCAUGUUUAAGUAGAGAUUACAGCGGGUAAGAGAGAGGUUACACCGCUGCAUAGAGGGGGGAAGAGUUGGUGAUGAUGGCGCUGAAGUUGUUGGUGAAGAUUGCGGUGAUGAUGAUGGCCCCCGGUGGCACUCCGGCGCCACCGGAAGCGAGGGGGAGAGAGCCCCCUCCUUCUUAGUCUUCCUUGACCUCCACCCUAGAUGAGAGAAGGGUUUCCCCUCUGGUCCUUGGUCUCCAUGGCAUGGGAGGGGCGAGAGCCCUCCGAGAUUGGGUAUGUCUCUCUGUCUCUCUCUGUUUCUGCGUUCUCAGAUUCUACCCUUUCACCGUUUCUUAUAUUCCCGGAGAUCCGUAACUCUGAUUGGGCUGAAAUUUUAACACGAUCUCUAUCCGGAUAUUAGCUUUCUUGUGGCGAAAGAAGGGCAUCAACCGCCUUACGGUGUGGCCACGAGGUUUAGGGGCGCGCCCUCCUACCUCGUGGCUCCCUCGGGUAUCAUCUUGCGUGGAUUUUUCUUCCCAAAAAUCAUAUAUAUAUUCCAAAAAAAAUCUCCGUCAAUUUUUAUCCCGUUUGGACUCCGUUUGAUAUGGAUAUUCUGCGAAACAAAAAACAUGCAAUAAACAGGAACUGGCACUGGGCACUGGAUCAAUAUGUUAGUCCCAAAAAUAGUAUAAAAAGUUGCCAAGAGUAUAUGAAAGUUGUAGAAUUGACAUGGAACAAUCAAAAAUUAUAGAUACGACGGAGACGUAUCAGCGUUUCCUUCCACCUCUACACCUAUUAACAUGUCUAAUGUUUUGGUCUCUCCUGACUUAGUUACCAACCUUGUCUCUGUUUGUCGCCUUGCUCGUGAGAACCCUAUUAUUGUUGAAUUUGACGAUGUUGGCUUUUUUGUGAAGGAUGCCCGUACAUGGAUGGUACUCCACCAAUGUGAUAGCCCGGAUGAGCUCUACCCGGUGCAUCCUUCCGCCGACACCACCACCCAUCCCGCUGCCCUUGCCGAUAGUGUUGAUCUCUGGCACGUCCGCCUCGGUCAUCCCAACUCCACAGUUUUAUGUCAGAUUCUUCAGAGUUUUUCAUUCUCAUGUAAUAAGGUUGACGACCACUCUUGUGAGGCUUGCCGUCUCGGCAAGCAUGUUCGUCUUCCCUUUAGCGAGUCUACAAACAUUUCCACUUUUCCGUUUUAGUUAUUGCAUAGUGAUCUUUGGACGUCCCCAGUUGCAAGCAACACGGGUUAUCUAUACUAUUUGGUGAUAUUGGAUGAUUUGUCCCAUUAUGUGUGGACAUUUCCUCUCCGUCGCAAGUCCGAUGCUUUUGCCACACUCACCGGUUUUUAUUCAUAUAUCACCACAUAGUUUGGUCAUCAUAUUCUUGCGUUGCAAACUGACAACGGAAAAUAGUUUGACAAUGUUGCCGUCCGCAAUCUCCUUGCGUCGCAUGGCACUAUUUUUCGGCUCACUUGCCCCUACACGUCACAGCAGAAUGGCCGCGCCGAGCGCGCCAUCCGCACUCUUAAUGACUGUGUCUGCACAUUGCUCUUCCACUCCAACGUGCCUCCUUGGUUCUGGCCAGACGCUCUCGCGACCGCCAGCCUUCUCAUUAACAUCCACCCAUGUCGUCCUCGUUGGAACUAUUCUCCUCAGCAGCUCCUCUUCGGUGUGGCUACAUCCUAUGAUGGUCUUCGCAUUCUCGGGUCUCUCUCUUAUACUAGCACCGCGUCCACCGCCCUUCACAAAGUCGCUCCCCGGUCGGUUCCUUGUAUCUUCCUCGGUUAUCCUCCCAACACCAAAGGAUACCGGUGCUAUGAUCCAGUGUUCCACCACGUCUUCACUUCGUGGCAUGUGUACUUUGAUGAGCUGGUGUUCCCAUUUCAGCAGGUACUAUCGGCGUCUCCUGCGGCAUGGCUCACCCCGGCCACCACCUAUGGCGAGUCGCCCCCUACGCCAGCCGAGCACUAGGCCCGGCCCUGCCCGCGCUUCCGGCGCCGGCCGCCCCCUCCCAUGGCACCCCGACUGCCGCGACCUCUUCGGUCGCCCCGCCGCCACGGCCCCAUCGGGCGCCCCCGACGCCGCGGCCCCUUCGGCCGCCCCCGUCGCCGUGGCCUCUGGCGCCGCCGCGGGUGGCCCCUCGAAGCCUUAGGAGACCGGCUCGACUUCCUCCUCGCUAGCCCCCCUCGCAGCUUCGCCGGCUGCAGCCGCACCUCUCAUCGGUGUGGUUACUCGGGCUCGGACUGGGACGUUUCGUCCCAGCACGCGCUACACCUCCGACGAGCACACAUGUGCCGCAUCUACCUUGGCCCCGUCCCCACUCCCCACCUCCGCCGGCGCAGCCCUUCGGGAUCCGAACUGGCUUGCUGUUAUGCUUGAGGAGUUUGACGCCCUGUAGCGUGAUACAUCUCCAACGUAUCUAUAAUUUUUGAUUGCUCCAUGCUAUAUUAUCUAAUGUUUUGGACUAUAUUGGGCUUUAUUUUCCACUUUUAUAUUAUUUUUGGGACUAACCUAUUAACCGGAGGCCCAUCCCAGAAUGGCUGUUUUUUCUGCCUAUUUCAGUGUUUCGGAUAAACAGAAUAUCAAACGGAGUCCAAACGGAAUAAAAUCUUCGGAAACGUGAUUUUCUCACCGAACAUGAUCCAGGAGACUUGGACCCUACUACAAGGGAUGAGCCCCUGCCUCAUGGGCCCCUCGGUGCUCCAUCGACGUACUCCUUCCUCCUAUAUAUACACACGUACCCCCAAACGAUCAGAACAGGAGCCAAAAACCUAAUUCCACCGCCGCAGCUUUCUGUAUGCACGAGAUCCCAUCUUGGGGCCUGUUCUGGAGCUCCGCCGGAAGAGGGUCAUCAUCAUGGAGGGCUUCUACAUCAUCCUAGCCCCUCCGAUGAAGUGUGAGUAGUUUACCUCAGACCUUCGGGUCCGUAGUUAGUAGCUAGAUGGCUUCUUCUCUCUCUUUGAAUCUCAAUACAAAGUUCUCCCCCUCUCUUGUGGAGAUCUAUUCGAUGUAAUCUUCUUUUUGCGGUGUGUUUGUUGAGAUCGAUGAAUUGUGGGUUUAUGAUCAAGUCUAUCUAUGAAUAAUAGUUGAAUCUUCUUUGAAUUCUUUUAUGCAUGAUUGGUUAUCUUUGCAAGUCUCUUCGAAUUAUCCGUUUGGUUUGGCCAACUAGAUUGGUAGUUCUUGCCAUGGGAGAAGUGCUUAGCUUUGGGUUCGAUCUUGCGGUGUCCUUACCCAGUGACAGAAGGGGAAGCAAGGCACGUAUUUAUCGUUGCCAUCAAGGAUAACAAGAUGGGGUUUAUUUCAUAUUGCAUGAAUUUAUCUCUCUACAUCAUGUCAUCUUGCUUAAGGCGUUACUCUGUUUUUAACUUAAUACUCUAGAUGCAUGCUGGAUAGCGGUCGAUGAGUGGAGUAAUAGUAGUAGAUGCAGAAUCGUUUUGGUCUACUUGUCAUGGACGUGAUUCCUAUAUACAUGAUCAUGCCUAGAUAUUCUCAUAAUUAUGCUCAAUUCUAUCAAUUGCUCAACAGUAAUUUGUUCACCCACCAUAGAAUACUUAUGCUCUUGAGAGAAGCCACUAGUGAAACCUAUGGCCCCCGGGUAUAUUCUCAUCAUAUCAAUCUCCAUUACUUUUAUAGUGUUUUGCUAUUUACUUUGGCUUUACAUUUUACUUUGCAUCUUUAUAUCAAAAAUACCAAAAAUAUUCUAUCUAUCAGAUCUCACUCUCGUAAGUGACCGUGAAGGGCUUGGCAACCCCUAAUCGCGUUGGUUGCGAGUAGCUAUCGCUUUGUGCAGGUACGAGGGACUUCAGCAUGGGCUCCUACUGGAUUGAUACCUUGGUUUUAAAAACUGAGGGAAAUAGUUACGCUACUCUGCUGCAUCAUCCCUUCCUCUUCGGGGAAAACCAACGCAAGCUCAAGACGUAGCAAGAAGGAUUUUUGGCGCUGUUGCCGGGGAGUCUACGCAAAAAUUCAAUAUACCAAGUACCCAUCACAAUCCCUAUCUCUCGCAUUACAUUAUUUUCCAUUUGCCUCUCGUUUUCCUCUCCCCCCAAUUCACCCUUGCAGUUUUAUUCGCCCUCUCUCUCCUCCCUCUCUGUUUGCCUCUUUUGUCCGCUUGCUUUUUGUUUGCUCGUGUGUUAGAUUGCUUGUUUGUCGCGAUGGCUCAAGAUACUACCAAAUUGUGUGACUUCACCAAUACCAAUAAUAAUGAUUUCCUUAGCACUUCGAUUGCUCCUCUUACCGAUGCUAAAUCUUGUGAAAUUAAUACUGCUUUGUUGAAUCUUGUUAUGAAAGAUCAAUUCACCGGCCUUCCUAGUGAAGAUGCCGUUACUCAUCUGAAUAGCUUCGUUGAUUUAUGUGAUAUGCAAAAGAAAAAAGAUGUCAAUAAUGAUGUCGUUAAAUUGAAGCUAUUUCCUUUUCGCUUAGAGAUCGUGCUAAAGUUUGGUUUUCGUCUUUGCCUAAGAAUAGUAUUGAUUCAUGGAACAAAUGCAAAGAUGCUUUUAUCUCUAUGUAUUUUCCUCCCGCUAAGAUCAUCUCUCUUAGAAACGAUAUAAUGAACUUUAAACAACUUGAUCAUGAACAUGUUGCACAAGCUUGGGAGAGAAUGAAAUUAAUGAUACGUAAUUGCCCUACUCAUGGUUUGAAUUUGUGGAUGAUUAUACAAAUUUUUUAUGCCGGAUUGAAUUUUGCUUCUAGAAAUCUUUUAGAUUCGGCUGCAGGAGGCACUUUUAUGGAAAUCACUUUAGGAGAUGCUACUAAACUCCUAGAUAAUAUUAUGGUUAAUUAUUCUCAAUGGCAUACUGAAAGAACUUCUAAUAAAAAAGUGCAUGCGAUAGAAGAAAUUAAUGUGUUGAGUGAAAAGAUGGAUGAACUUAUGAAAUUAUUUGAUACUAAGAGUGUUUCUUCUGAUCCUAAUGAUAUGCCUUUGUCUACUUUGAUUGAGAAUAAUAAUGAAUCUAUGGAUGUGAAUUUUGUUGGUAGGAAUAAUUUUGGUAACAACGCUUAUAGAGGGUAUUUUAAUCCUAGGCCAUAUCCUAGUAAUCCUUCUAAUAAUUAUGGGAAUUCCUACAACAACUCUUAUGGAAAUUAUAAUAAGAUGCCCUCUGAUUUUGAAUCUAAUAUUAAAGAAUUUAUUUCUUCGCAAAAGAAUUUUAAUGCUAUGAUUGAAGAAAAAUUGCUUAAGAUUGAUGAUUUGGCUAGGAACGUUGAUAGAAUUGCUCUUGAUGUUGAUGCUUUGAAACUUAGAUCUAUUCCACCUAAGCAUGAUAUUAAUGAGUCUCUAAAAGCCAUGCGAAUUUCAAUUGAUGAGUGUAAAGAAAGAACGCUAGGAUGCGUGCUUCCAAAGAUGCCUUUAUUAAAGCGUGUUCUUCCAAUUCCUAUGAAAAUCAAGAUGAAGAUCUAAAAGUUAUUGAUGUGUCUCCAAUUAAAUCUUUAUUUUUCAAUAUGAAUCUUGAUUAAACUGAAUAUGAUCUUCCUUUACCUAGAAGGCGUUCUAAAAAUUCGGAGUGUUUAGAUCUUAAUGAUGAAAUUGAUGAAAGUGGGAUUGAAAGAAAUAAAAAUCUAGAUGUUGCUAAACCCACUAUAUUGGAUUUCAAGGAAUUUAAUUAUGAAAAUUUCUCUUUGAUUUAUUGUAUUUCCUUGUUGCAAUCCGUGCUAAAUUCUCCACAUGCUUAUAGUCGAAAUAAAGCCUUCACCGAACAUAUUGUUGAUGCCUUGAUGCAAUCUUAUGAAGAAAGACUUGAGUUGAAAGUUUCUAUCCCUAGAAAACUCUAUGAUGAGUGGGAACCAACUAUUAAAAUUAAAAUUAAAGAUCAUAAGUUUUAUGCUUUGUGUGAUUUGGGUGCUAGUGUCUCUACUAUUCCCAAGACUUUGUGUGAUUUACUAGAUUUCCGUAAUUUUGAUGAUUGCUCUCUAAACUUGCAUCUUGCGGAUUCCACUAUUAAGAAACCUAUGGGAAGAAUUAAUGAUGUUCUUAUUUUUUCAAAUAGGAAUUAUGUUCCCGUAGAUUUCAUUGUUCUUUAUAUAGAUUGCAAUCCUUCUUGCCCUAUUAUUCUUGGUAGACCUUUCCUUAGAACGGUUGGUGCGAUUAUUGAUAUGAAGGAAGGGAAUAUUAGAUUUCAAUUUCCAUUAAAAAAGGCCAUGGAACACUUUCCAAGAAAGAAAAUAAAAUUACCAUAUGAAACUACCAUGAGAGCCACUUAUGGAUUGCCUACCAAAGAUGGCAACACCUAGAUCUAUUCUUGCUCGUUAUGCCUAGCUAGGGGCGUUAAACGAUAGCGCUUGUUGGGAGGCAACCCAAUUUUAUUUUUAUUCCUUGCUUUUUGCUCCUGUUUAGUAAUAAAUAAAUUGGUUAGCCUCUGUUUUGGUUGUGUUUUUUGUGUUUAAUUAGUGUUUGUGCCAAGUAGAACCGUUGGGAAGACUUGGGGAAAGUCUUGUUGAACUUGCUGUAAAAAAUAGAAACUUUAGCGCUCACGAGAACUGCUGUCAUUUUUAUUUGGAGAGUGAUAUUUAGUUAAUUCUUUUUUAAUAUGAUUAACAGAUAAAUUCCCCACGUCCAGAAAUUUAUUUUAGAAUUUUUGGGGUUACGGAUCUUGCGCUAGCCACAGAUUACUACAGACUGUUCUGUUUUUGACAGAUUCUGCUUUUCGUGUGUUGUUUGCUUAUUUUGAUGAAUCUAUGGCUAGUAAAAUAGUUUAUAAUCCAUAGAGAAGCUGCAAUACAGUAGGUUUAACACCAAUAUAAAUAAAGAAUGAGUUCAUUACAGUACCUUGAAGUGGUCUUUUGUUUUCUUUCGCUAACGGAGCUCACGAGUUUUCUAUUUUGAGUUUUGUGUUGUGAAGUUUUCAAGUUUUGGGUGAAUUCUUUUGAUGGAUCAUGGAACAAGGAGUGGCAAGAGCGUAAGCAUGGCAUCCCCAAGAUAAUCCAAGGAUACCAAAAAUUCAAAGCUUGGGGAUGCCCCAGAAGGUAUCCCCUCUUUCGUCCACUUCCAUCGGUAAUUUACUUGGAGCUAUAUUUUUAUUCACCAACAUGAUAUGUGUUUUGCUUGUAGCGUCUUGUAUUAUUUGUGUCUUUGUUUGUAGUAUGACACAAUCAUCCUUUCUUUACACACCUUUUGAGAGAUCCAUACAUGAAUUAAAAUUUGAUAGAAUACUCUAUGUGCUUCACUUAUAUCUUUCGAGCUAGAUAAUUUUGCUCUAUGUGCUUCACUUAGAUCUUUUAGAGCACGGUGGUGGAUUCGUUUUAAAGAAACUAUUGAUCUCUCAUGCUUCACUUAAAUUAAUUUGAGAGUCUCUUAAUAGCAUGGUAAUUUGUCUAAUAAUAAUAUGCUUGGUAUUCAAGAUUUGUGAAACUUUCUUUUGAGUGUGUUGAAUACUAAGAAAAGAUUGAAGCAUGAUAAUUGUUUUGAGAUAUGGAGGUGAUAAUAUUAAAGUCAUGCUAGUUGAGUAGUUGUGAAUUUAAAGAAUACUUGUGUUGAAGUUUGUGAUUCCCGUAGCAUGCACGUAUGGUGAACCGUUAUGUGAUGAAGUCGGAGCAUGAUUUAUUUAUUGACUGUCUUCCUUAUGAGUGGCGGUCGGGGACAAGCGAUGGUCUUUUCCUACCAAUCUACCCCCUAGGAGCAUGCGCGUAAUACUUUUCUUUGAUAACUUCUAAAUUUUUGCAAUAAGUAUAUGAGUUCUUUAUGACUAAUGUCGAGUCCAUGGAUUAUAUGCUCUCUCACCCUUCCACCUUUGCUAGCCUCUCUCAUACCACGCAACUUUCGCCGGUAUCAUACACCUACCAUAUACCUUCCUCAAAAUAGCCACCAUACCUACCUAUUAUGGCAUUUCCAUAGCCAUUCCGAGAUAUAUUGCCAUGCAACUUUCCACCAUCUAGUUCAUCAUGACACAUCCAUCAUUGUCAUAUUGCUUAGCAUGAUCAUGUAGUUGACAUAGUAUUUGUGGCAAAGCCACUGUUCAUAAUUCUUUCAUACUUGUCACUCAUGAUUCAUUGCAUAUCCCGGUACACCGCCGGAGGCAUUCAUAUGGAGUCAUACUUUGUUUUAGUAUCGAGUUGUAAUCAUUGAGUUGUAAAUAAAUAGAAGUGUGAUGAUCAUCAUUCAAUAGAGCAUUAUCCCAAAAAAAGAGAAAGGCCAAAGAAAAAAAGAAGGCCAAAAUAAAUAAAUAAAUAAAAAGGGGCAAUGCUACUAUCUUUUUUUUCCACACUUGUGCUUCAAAGUAGAACCAUGAUAUAGCUAGCCUCAUAUAUUGUGCUUCAAAGUAGCACCAUGUUAUUCAUAUAGAGAGAGUCAUAUGUUGUCACUUUCAUAUACUAGUGGGAAUUUUACGUUAUAGAACUUGGCUUGUAUAUUCCAAUGAUGGGCUUCCUCAAAUUGCCCUAGGUCUUCGUGAGCAAGCAAGUUGGAUGCACACCCACUAGUUUCUUUUGUUGAGCUUUCAUACAUUUAUAGCUCUAGUGCAUCCGUUGCAUGGCAAUCCCUACUCACUCACAUUGAUAUCUAUUGAUGGGCAUCACAAUAGCCCGUUGAUACGCCUAGUCGAUGUGAGACUAUCUUCUCCUUUUUGUCUUCUCCACAACCACCAUUCUAUUCCACCUAUAGUGCUAUAUCCAUAGCUCACGCUCAUGUAUUGCGUGAAGAUUGAAAAAGUUUUGAAAAAGUUAGAGUAUGAAACAAUUGCUUGGCUUGUCAUCGGGGUUGUGCAUGAUUUAAAUACUUUGUGUGGGGAAGAUGGAGCAUAGCCAGACUAUAUGAUUUUGUAGGGAUAACUUCCUUUGGCCAUGUUAUUUUGAGAAGACAUAAUUGCCUUGUUAGUAUGCUUGAAGUAUUAUUAUUUUCUAUGUCAAUAUAAAAUUUUCUCUUGAAUAUUUCUAAUCUGAAUAUUCAUACCACAAUUAAGAAGAUUUGCAUUGAAAUUAUGCCAGGUAGCACUCCGCAUAAAAAAUUCUCUUUUUUAUCAUUUACCUACUCGAGGACGAGCAGGAAUUAAGCUUGGGGAUGCCUGAUACGUCUCCAACGUAUCUAUAAUUUUUGAUUGCUCCAUGCUAUAUUAUCUAAUGUUUUGGACUAUAUUGGGCUUUAUUUUCCACUUUUAUAUUAUUUUUGGGACUAACCUACUAACCGGAGGCCCAGCCCAGAAUUGCUGUCUUUUGCCUAUUUCAGUGUUUCGGAUAAACAGAAUAUCAAACGGAGUCCAAACGGAAUAAAAUCUUCGGAAACGUGAUUUUAUCACCGAACGUGAUCCAAGAGACUUGGACCCUACUGCAAGGGAUCAAAGAGGUGGUCAUGAGGGUGGGGGGCGCGCCCCCCUACCUCGUGGGCCCCUCGGUGCUCCACCGAUGUACUCCUUCCUCCUAUAUAUACACACGUACCCCCAAACGAUUAGAACAGGAGCCAAAAACCUAAUUCCACUGCCGUAACUUUCUGUAUCCACGAGAUCCCAUCUUGGGGCCUGUUCCGGAGCUCCGCCGAAAGAGGGCCGUCAUCACGGAGGGCUUCUACAUCAUCCUAGCCCCUCCGAUGAAGUGUGAGUAGUUUACCUCAGACCUUCGGUCCAUAGUUAGUUGCUAGAUGGCUUCUUCUCUCUCUUUGAAUCUCAAUACAAAGUUCUCCCCCUCUCUUGUGGAGAUCUAUUCGAUGUAAUCUUCUUUUUGCGGUGUCUUUGUUGAGAUCGAUGAAUUGUGGGUUUAUGAUCAAGUCUAUCUAUGAAUAAUAUUUGAAUCUUCUCUGAAUUCUUUUAUGCAUGAUUGGUUAUCUUUGCAAGUCUCUUCGAAUUAUCCGUUUGGUUUGGCCAACUAGAUUGGUAGUUCUUGACAUGGGAGAAGUGCUUAGCUUUGGGUUCGAUCUUGCAGUGUCUUUACCCAGUGACAGAAGGGGCAACAAGGCACGUAUUGUAUCGUUGCCAUCGAGGAUAACAAGAUGGGGUUUAUUUCAUAUUGCAUGAAUUUAUCUCUCUACAUCAUGUCAUCUUGCUUAAGGCGUUACUCUGUUUUUAACUUAAUACUCUAGAUGCAUGCUGGAUAGCGGUCGAUGAGUGGAGUAAUAGUAGUAGAUGCAGAAUCGUUUUGGUCUACUUGUCACGGACGUGAUGCCUAUAUACAUGAUCAUGCCUAGAUAUUCUCAUAAUUAUGCUCAAUUCUAUCAAUUGCUCAACAGUAAUUUGUUCACCCACCGUAGAAUACUUAUGCUCUUGAGAGAAGCCACUAGUGAAACCUAUGGACCCCGGGUCUAUUCUCAUCAUAUCAAUCUCCAUUACUUUUAUAUUGUUUUGCUAUUUACUUUGCCUUUACUUUUUACUUUGCAUCUUUAUAUCAAAAAUACCAAAAAUAUUCUAUCUAUCAGAUCUCACUCUCGUAAGUGACCGUGAAGGGCUUGACAUCCCCUAAUCGCGUUGGUUGCGAGUAGCUAUUGCUUUGUGCAGGUACGAGGGACUUGAGCGUGGGCUCCUACUGGAUUGAUACCUUGGUUGUCAAAAACCGAGGGAAAUACUUAUGGUACUCUGCUGCAUCAUCCCUUCCUCUUCGGGGAAAACCAACACAAGCUCAAGAUGUAGCAUAGCGCAACCGCACAUGGCAGCUUGUCCCGUGGCCUCCCCGUGCCAAUGUUAUCAUUGGCAAGUGGGUCUUCCGCCACAAGACUCGCCCUGACGGUUCUCUUGAGCGCUACAAGGCGCGUUGGGUCAUGCACGGCUUCCGCCAGCACGCCGGCGUGGACUUCACCGACACCUUCGCCCUGGCUGUCAAAUCGGGCAUGAUUCGCGCUGUUCUCCAGCUUGCUGUCUCUCGCGCCUGGCCAGUUCACCAGCUCGAUGUGUCCAAUGCUUUCUUGCAUGGCCAUCUCGACGAGCAGGUGUUUUGUCAGAAACCUACUUGUUUCAUCGACACCGACUAUCCGGACCACGUGUGCUUGCUCUCCCGUUCUCUCUACGGGUUGAAGCAGGUGCCUCGGGCCUGGUACCAGCGGAUCGCGGCCUUCCUUCAGCAGCAGGGGUUCCGUUCCACAUGUUCCGAUGCCUCCCUGUUUGUUUAUCACCAGGCUGCUGCCACCGCGUACCUUCUCCUGUACAUCAACGACAUCAUCCUGACUGCGUCCCCGCCAGCACUACUUCAGCUAAUCACAGCUCGCUUCGGCACCGAGUUCACCCUCAAGGACUUGGGGCUCUCCACUACUUCCUCGGCAUCGAGGUUGUCCCCCGUGCCACUGGCUUCUUCCUGCAUUAGCAGAAGUAUGACUACGAGCUUCUGGAGCGAGCCGACAUGCUUAACUGCAAGCCUGCUCCCACGCCUGUUGAUACAAAGGCUAAGGUGUCCGCCAUCGAGGGAUCUUCGGCGUCCGACGCUCCCUUCUACCACUCCAUCACCGAUGCUCUUUAGUACCUCACACUGACGCAUCCGGAUAUUCAGUAUGCUGUCUAGCAGGUGUGCCUUCACAUGCAUGCUCCUUGUGACACUCAUUGGACUCUGGUGAAACGUAUUCUCCGGUAUAUACAUGGCACCACCGCUAUGGGUCUCACCCUGAUGGCAUCACCUGACACCAGCCUCGUCGCCUACUCCGACGCCUAAUACAUCCACUUUGCAUGAUGUUUUCUUACUGUUGUUUACAAUGUUUUUAUCCAUAAUAAUGCCUUUUGGAGUAAUUCUAAUGCCCUUUCUCUCAUAAUUUGCAAGGUACACACCAAGAGGGAGAAUUCUGGUAGCUAGAAAUCUGGACCUGGAAAAGCUACGCCAGGCCACCUAUUCCGCACAACUCCAAACAAGCUGAAACUUCACGGAGAUUUUUAUGGAUUAUUUCAGAAUUAUUGAAGCAAAUAACUACCAGAGGGGCCCCACCAGGUGGGCACAACCCACCCGGGCAUGCCAGGGAGCCUAGGCGUGCCCUCCUCGGCCCACCUCCGGUGCCCAUCUUUUGGUAUAUAAGUCAUUUUGACCUAGAAAAAAAAUAAGGGGAGGACUUUCGGGAUGAAGCGCCACCGCCUCGAGGCAGAACUUGGGCAGGAGCACUUUUGUCCUCCGACGGAGCGAUUCCGUCGGGGGAACUUCCCUCCCGGAGGGGGAAAUCAUCGUCAUCAUCAUCACCAACAACUCUCCCAUCUCGGGGAGGGCAAUCUCCGUCAACAUCUUCAACAACACCAUCUCCUCUCAAACCCUAGUUCAUCUCUUGUGUUCAAUCUUGUUACCAGAACUAGAGAUUGGUACUUGUGGGUGACUGAUAUGUCUCCGUCGUAUCUAUAAUUUUUGAUUGUUCCAUGCCAAUAUUCUACAACUUUCAUAUACUUUUGGCAACUUUUUAUACUAUUUUUGGGACUAACAUAUUGAUCCAGUGCCUAAUGCCAGUUCCUGUUUGUUGCAUGUUUUUUGUUUCGCAGUAAAUCCAUAUCAAACGGAGUCCAAAUGGGAUAAAACCGACGGAGAUUUUUUUGGAAUAUAUGUGAUUUUUGGGAAGAAAAAUCAACGCGAGACGAUUCCCGAGGGGGCCACGAGGCAGGGGGGUGCGCCCCAGGGGGGCAGGCGCCCCUGGGCCCUUGUGGCCACCCUGUAAGGCAGUUGAUGCCCUUCUUUCUCCACAAGAAAGCUAAUAUCCGGAUAGAGACCGUGUUAAAAUUUCAGCCCAAUCGGAGUUACGGAUCUCUGGGAAUAUAAGAAAUAGUGAACAGGCAGAAUAGGAGAACGCAGAAACAGAGAGAGACAGAGAGAUAGAUCCAAUCUCGGAGGGGCUCUCGCCCCUCCGCCGCCAUGGAGGCUGUUGGUGUCAAAACCGACAGAUCUUGGGUAGGGGGUCCCGAACUGUGCAUCUAAGGCGGAUGGUAACAGGAGGCAGGGGACACGAUGUUUUACCCAGGUUCGGGCCCUCUUGAUGGAGGUAAUACCCUACGUCCUGCUUGAUUUAUUCUUGAUGAUAUAAGUAUUACAAGAGUUGAUCUACCACGAGAUCGGAGAGGCUAAACCCUAGAAGCUAGCCUAUGGUAUGAUUGUAUGUUGUCCUACGGUCUAAAACCCUCCGGUUUAUAUAGACACCGGAGGGGCUAGGGUUACACAAGAUCGAUUACAAAGGAGGAGAUAUCCAUAUCCGUAUUGCCUAGCUUGCCUUCCAUGCCAAGGAGAGUCCCAUCCGGACAUGAGACGAAGUCUUCAAUCUUGUAUCUUCAUAGUCCAAUAGUCCGGCCAAAGGAUAUAGUCCGACAGUCUGGAGAUCCCCUAAUCCAGGACUCCCUCAGUAGCCCCUGAACCAGGCUUCAAUGACGAUGAGUCCGACGCGCAGUGUUAUCUUCGGCAUUGCAAGGUGAGUUCCUCCUCCGAACACAUCACAAAAGAGUUUAAAUACCAGGAUAGUGUCCGGCCCUGCAAAAUAAAUUCCACAUAUCUCCGCAGAGACAAUAAUAUUACCACAAAUCUAAUCUGCUGACACGUUUUGGCAACAUGACUUUAAGCCAUGGCCUGAUGAUUAUUCGAACCAUUUCCUUUAACUAGCCCCGCACAUAACGCAAGGCAGUUUUUUGACAUGUCUUGUCAAAGUAGAGAUCGUGUCCCCCUUAUUACGGGAUUCUCAUCAAUACGGGCGUGGGUAACCCAACCGCGCCAUCGAUUACGGCGCUUGGGGGAUAAGCGAGUUUUACCAGGCUAGUGGGGCCGCAUAGUUUCGGCCGCCCUUAUAAAGGGAUAAAGUUUAACCUUUUUCUACCCACGCCUUCUUCCUCCUUGCCUAUCCGUUCUUAUGCACUCGAGCUCCAACGCCCAAGUCCACAUCCUUCCCCUCAACCUUCUCCAAACAUGUCCGGAGCGGGGGGCAAAUGGAAGGCUUCCUCCGUUACGGAGGGGCACAUCAAAAAGCUGCGCGACGCCGGAUACUUAGCCGCGAAUAUCGCGCAUCGGCUGCCCGCUGCGGGGCAGAUCAUUCGUACCCCGGAACCUCAUGAGAGGGUAGUCUUCCUCCACCACCUCCUCCGUGGACUGGGGUUUCCCCUUCAUCCAUUCGUUCGUGGUCUCAUGUUCUACUACGGGCUGUACUUUCAUGAUCUGGCCCCGAACUUCAUCCUCAACAUUUCGGCGUUCAUCGUCGUCUGUGAGGCUUUCCUCCGUGUCCGGCCCCACUUCGGCCUGUGGGUGAAGACCUUUAACAUCAAGCCGAAGGUGGUGGGAGGCCAACAAGCAGAAUGCGGUGGAGCCAUGGUGGGCAAGAUGCCCAACGUUAUAUGGCUUGAAGGCUCCUUCGUGGAGACCAUAAAGGGGUGGCAAUCGGCGUGGUUCUACAUCACCGAGCCGCGCGACACCAAAUGGGUGGCUGCCCCCAAGUUUCGAUCCGGAUUCCCUACACGGCUCACUUCCUGGAAAGAGAAGGGCUUGUCGUGGGGUUCAUGGUGGAGCUGGAUGGACUCCAGAAAUGUAUCCGGAGUAUGGCAAGCAAGAAGCUCAAGCUUGUCAACAUAGUCCAGGUCAUGCUCAUCCGCCGGAUCCUCCCGUGUCAACAACGGGAUUUUAACUUGUGGGAGUUUGACCCGGCCCAUCACCAGACUCUGAGCGAGCUCUUCGACACGACGCACAAGGACGUCUGGAAGGUGCUGUUCAAGGGUGCCAAGGUCCCUCCCGCUCUCACCGAGGACUGCGGGCUAAGCGCGAAGCGCCGAGCGCAUUCGGUGAGCUCUAUACAUCUGGUAGGAUAUUUAUUUCCCCUAGCUUAACCAUGUGCGGGGUCUGAUCUCCCUGCCUUUGACAGGACUGGGUGGAGACAUCGGGGCAGAUUAACUAUCUGGCCCCUCUGCUCGAAGACACUGCGGAAGCUCUCCUGACGGAGAUGCUGACUCCGGCUCCUUACAAGGUGCCGGAGAAGACUAAGAAGGCCAAGGGAACCCGAAAGAGCUACCGGCGCCAGGUGUUAUCGGGCUCAUCGUCCGAUAACUCCGUGACGCACUCCUCCCCCGAAGACGAGGAGGAGGAUGAAGAUGUUCCCCCUCCAGUCGGGGAAGACAAGAAAAGGAAGGCCGCCCCUAUUGGGGGGGCCGAAGGGUCCAAGAAGGGAAGGACUCUCCUUCCGGACUACUCCACCACGGCCGAAGGCGAAGACGAGUGGCUGCUUAGGGCCAAGCCCCUGGCGAAGUCGUAAGUAUUCGGAUACCAGAGUAACUCAUAACAUUCCUUUGUCGCACUGCUUCUCCUAAUGCCGAAUUAUGAUUGUGCAGACCGCACCGAACCCGUAUCGACGUAUCCUCGCCGGACGGCUCCCUGGGCUCGUCGGAUAUGGAUAGCGAUCCACUUCCGACCGCCACCUCCCCUUGCCCUACGGAAAAUGCCGAGGUGUUGUCUCAAGAGGCACUGGGUCAAGGGGAGACAGUCCCGGAGGCACCUCAAAGCGACCUUCCGGACUCCGGGAGCAGGGGGAGUAAAGCCCCCGAGGGCUCCAAGUUCGGCCCUCAGCCGAACACCGCGCCGAAACCUCCAGUGGUUCCGGACUCGGGCAGGCGGCCUCCUUCCAAGAGGGGCAAGACGCCUGUGUCGGUGACCUCCGCCCAUCCACAGGCACCGGACAAUCUGCUGGGAGCGCUUCGCAGCGCUUCCAUUGACGAAGAGCACCGCACUAUCAUGAGUGCGGUGGUCCAGAAGGUUCAGUCCGCCAAGAGCGGACUGACCGAAGCCUGUGCCAGCCUUCUAACAGGCUUUGAGGUAAGUUUUUGAAAUAUAGGAGAAAUAUUACCACAUAGACAGUAGCCGCUGAUGCUCUGUUCGGUGUUCACAAAGAAAAGCCGAACAGAGGAUCAAACAAUAUCGCAGGAGUCUAAUAUUAGUAUGUCUAUAUGCGUAUGCAGGCUUCGCUGCUAGCCUCUGCCACACUGACUGCGGAGGUCGUCGCACUGAAGGAGGACCUUAAAGGGUCCAAGGACGAGCUCGGCCUUGCCAAGAGGCAGCUCGAGGAGAACAAAGGUAAGUAGUACCUAGUCUAUGAAUAUGUAUAAAAAGAAUGCGAUUGCAAAAUGAUAGGAUCAUCGUAAAUUUGCCAGGGGCCACGACCGAGGUGGCGACCCUGAAGCAAGCGCUAUCCGAGGCCGAAAACAAAGCGGCCAAGGAGAGCACCAAGCGGGAAAGGCAUGAGGCACGGGUGGAUGAGGUGCGGCAAGAGCUCCACGCUCUCGUGACGAAGCACGAGGCGUUGAAGCUUGACUUGAAGAUGCGAGAGUCUGAGCUUGCCCCAGCCGUCGAGAGUGCAAAGAGUGCCAAGGACGAAGCCCAAAAGGCCCUCCAGGAGAUUGAUGCGAUGAAGAAGAUAGCGGCGGGUAAGGCAUUCUAUAUGCAAAGCAAGCAUGUGAAAGUAAAUUACCUGUUACUUACCCGAAUCUGGAGCUCUCUAGGAGCAUUCGCAGAUUUGCCCCGCAGCGUGUUGGAUGCCGCAACGUUUUACCAGGCCAAGGAGGGAAGCUCAAUGGAGAAGUUGUUCUGGGCCCAAUAUACUGGGACCGAACACCUGGUGCCUAUGAGCGACCAGCUAAAGCAGCUGGUCGAGCUACACAAGGCGGCCGAACAAGCCAUGAAGGGCUUCAUAGUCCGGCUGUGGCCUGGCGACGCCCUUCCGAACAGCUACUUCGGCCUGUCGAGGCGGCUUGUGGAUGCCUGCCCACGGCUGGAAGUCGUCAAGCGGUCCGUCUGCAUUGAAGGUGCAUGCCGGGCUUUCGCCCGUGUGAAGGUGCAAUGGGCCAAGCUAGACGUCGUGAAGCUGAUCAAGGAAGGGCCACCGGAGGGCAAGGAGCAUCGCCACCCCGAGAUGUACUAUGAGGGUGUCCUGAAGGGUGCCCGUCUCAUAGCGGACGAGUGUACGAAAGAUAUAAUAUUUGAGCGAACUCGCUGGUGUAAUCCUGUAUUCAUGAAAACUUGUUCAUAUGCGCUAUGCAACACUUGUUUGAAUUAAAAAUAUUACCUUAUGUUCGGCUGAUUAUCAAAUCUGAGAGAUGGCUAGUCGUCGGCUUCUGCCCCCAUGCCACGAGUGCUGGGGUGUUCGGGAUAAACCUGAGCACUCUUGUUCCCAUUUUUGGGUCCUUCGAGGGAGGUGCUCAGCACAAUGAACAAGGCAAUCAGACUAUAAUGCGUUAUCACUCUCACUUAGCCAUAGAAUUCUAUAAUUUUAAAUUUCAGCGAAGCCCCUAGUAUUCGGAAGGCCGAAUCUGGGGCGCGAUACACGCCUUAAGCCGGACAGGGCCGACUCCUCGCUCUAAGCGGCAUAAGUCUUUAAGGACUCGAAAACCUCUCGAACAGCGACUAGUCUCUCGCCUUAUCAUGACAGUCAGUUUUAGCUUUCUCUACUGAGGUGCUUAGCUCGGCAGAACCGGGGCACAAUCGCAGUAGUUCUCCCAGUGCUACCUUAGCCGAUAUAGCAGAACCUAAGGUACCAAAACAUGGGAGCCGGGCAAACCCAACUAUUGACCCAAGACAUGAUUCAGAGCUGAUGCAGAUAAUGCUAUAAGUUCGGGGUGCCGCACCGUUGAAAGUGUCAGGACUUCUCACGCCGUAUUGUGGGGUAUGCUUAAGCCCUUAGCGUAUUAGCCAUACCAGAGUGUACGGGUGCUGGAUGUCAUGAAUGAACGUAAUAAAAAAAGAAGAAUGCAAUAAUAGUCUUAAUGCUAUGCAUUGUUUAUUCAAAAAGGUGCGUUAAAGCAGAAUGAUACACGCAGUGCAAUAAGCAAAAAGUAGGACUAUGUCCCCUCCAAGGGCAAGCUAAGGAAUAAUAUUAAAGCAAGUAUUUCACUCGUUAUCGUAAUCCACAUGGGAGUUCCGUGGUGUGAUGUAGCUUUCUGCCUCCUUGGUUGCUGCAUCAUGUGUUCGGCAAUCAUGCUGCCGGACAGGGUUUCCAGAGAUUAAUGUCCUGAAAGAGAGAAAAAUAACAAAGCGGGAAGCCCCUAGUGCGGUUUAAGCCAUGUCUUGGGGCGUGCCGUAGUCAUGCCCCCUCCCCGCCUGUGCCCAUGGUAUUUUUAAUGCGUAAUUAUGUACGCGUGGCACGGAUUUUGCCGUUUGGCUGGGACCGGGGUGGGGGCCAUAUUGCUAUGCGAGCUCGGAACAUGCCAGGCGGUCCUGUUGCCGAUUACUCCGGGCGCGCUUGAAGGUGUCCGGGUCCUUAAACGCCGAACUAGUGAAUUUCCUUAAGAGGCUGCUUUGCGCUUCCACUGUGAGGGCCGCAGUGUGCUCCUCCAUUCGGAGAGAGCGCUCUGUGUUUCCAUUAACUGUAAUGACCCCCCGAGGUCCUGGCAUCUUGAGCUUGAGGUAUGCAUAAUGCGGUACCGCAUUGAAUCUCGCAAAUGCGGUUCGCCCGAGCAGUGCAUGAUAACCACUGCGAAAUGGGACUAUAUCGAAGAUUAACUCUUCGCUUUGGAAGUUAUCCGGGGAUCCGAAGACCACUACCAGUGUGACUGAGCCUGUGCAAUGGGCCUCUACACCUGGUAUGACGCCUUUAAAGGUCGUUUUUGUGGGUUUGAUCCUUGAGGGGUCUAUACCCAUUUUGCGCACUGUGUCCUGGUAAAGCAGGUUCAGGCUGCUGCCGCCAUCCAUAAGGACUCGAGUGAGGUGAAAUCCAUCAAUGAUUGGGUCUAGGACCAGUGCGGCGAAUCCGCCAUUACGGAUACUAGUGGGGUGGUCCCUGCGAUCGAAGGUGAUCGGACAGGAGGACCAUGUGUUGAACUUUGGGGCGACUGGCUCCAACGCAUAUACGUCCCUGAGCGCACGCUUCCGCUCCCUGUUGGGGAUGUGGGUUGCGUAUAUCAUGUUCACCGUCCGCACUUGUGGGGGGAACCUCUUCUAUCCUCCAGUGUUCGGCUGUCGGGGCUCUUCCUCAUCAUCUCUAUGUGGCCCCUUAUCUUUGUUUUCGGCAAUUAACUUGCUGGCCUGCUUGAACACCCAAGAAUCCCUGUUGGUGUGGUUGGCUGGCUUGUCGGGGGUGCCGUGUAUUUGACACGAGCGAUCGAGUAUACGGUCCAAACUGGACGGGCCCGGAGUGCUUCUUUUGAAUGACUUUUUCCGCUGACCGGGUUUAGAGCCUUUGAAUCCGGCAUUGACUGCCGUAUCCUCGGUAUUGUUGCUGUUAAUGCGGCGCUUAUGUUUUUGUGACAUGACCUGCUAUUGCCGUCCUUGGUAUCCGAAGUACCAUGGUUCUUUGAUAUGUUAUUACUGCGAGCCAGCCAACUGUCUUCUCCCGCACAAAAGCGGGUCAUGAGUGUGGUAAGGGCUGCCAUAGAUUUCGGCUUUUCCUGACCAAGGUGCCGGGCUAGCCACUCGUCGCGAAUGUUGUGUUUAAAAGCUGCUAGGGCCUCUGCAUCCGGACAGUCAAUGAUUUGAUUUUUCUUUGUAAGGAACCCUGUCCAGAAUUGCCUGGCCGAUUCCUCUGGCUGCUGAAUUAUGUGGCUCAAGCCAUCGACAUCUGGUGGUCGCACAUAAGUGCCCUGAAAGUUGUCAAGGAAUGCGGCUUCCAGAUCUUCCCAACAACCAAUGGACUCUGCUGGCAAGUUGUUGAGCCAAUGCCGAGCUGGUCCUUUGAGUUUGAGUGGGAGGUAUUUGAUUGCGUGUAGGUCAUCACCGCGGGCCAUGUGGAUGUGCAGGAGGAAAUCCUCAAUCCAUACCGCAGGAUCUGUCGUGCCGUCGUAUGAUUCUAUGUUUACGGGUUUGAAACCCUCUGGGAUUUGAUGAUCCAUUACUUCAUCUGUGAAGCAUAAGGGGUGUGCGGCACCUCUGUACUGGGCUAUAUCGUGACGCAGCUCCAAUGAGUCUUGCCCGCUGUGUUCGGCCCGACCGGAUUUACUUUUACGGUAUCCGGCGUGAUGUUUAUCGUCUCGCAUAGUGGCGCGCCCUCGUGAUCCGUAGAUCGAUCUUGCAUGUUUUGCUUUGUCGUAAAAUAUGUCUCGCAGGUCUGGCAUAUUUCCCCAUGCCUUUUUAUUUGAAUGGCGUCGGGGUGCAGGCUGAGCUUUUGGCUAGAAUGCCUCUCUAUCGCGGCCACGAGGUGACCGAUCAGCCAUGUCAUACGCUUCUUCCUCCAGUCGAGGUAGCAACCUGCACUUUGGGUAACUCUUGGAGGGGCGUUCGAGUUUAUAUUCCUCAGCCGCGAGGACUUCAGUCCAUCAGAUCUUGAUCAGCUUGAAGCUGCUGCUACUUUUUCUUAAGGCUAUUUGCCGUGGCUAUAAGCCGGCGCUUGAAGCGCUCUUGUUCGACGGGAUCCUCUGGCACGACGAAUUCAUCAUCGUCGAGGCUUGCUUUUUCUUCGGAGGGGGGCAUGUAAUUAUCAUCCUCCGCCUCUCCAUCUGCCGCUCUCUCUGGAGGGCUGGCCUCUCCAUCUUUCUGUCCUAGAUCAUGCUAGAGGGGAUUGUUGCCAUCUUCGGCACUAUCCAGAGUGUUAUUAUCUCCUGUGCUGGUAUCACCACUUUUGCUUUGGUGGGACUUAGAGCGGCGCUACUGACGUCGGCGCUUGGGUUGCUUCUUGGAGGGGUCAUCCUCCGCUGUCUCGUCGCCAUUGCCUUCUUUGGGUGUGUCACCAUGUAUAUAUCGUAUGAUGAGGUGGCUGUCCAGUGCCCUGUGGGCAGUGGUUCCUCUUCGUCUACCGCAUCGUCGUCCAUACCGUCGAUGUCUUCGGAGUCGAAGUCGAGCAUGUCGGUUAGGUCGUCGACAGUGGCUACUAAGUGGGUGGUGGGUGGGCAGCGAAUUUCUUCGUCAUCCGCAUCCCAAUCCUGCCGGACAUGGUUCGGCCAGGAUCCUCCUGACAAGGAGAGAGACCUUAAUGAGUUCAGUAUGCCGCCGAAGGGAGAGUGCUGAAAAAUAUCCGUGGAGGUAAACUCCAUGAUCGGCGCCCAAUCGGAUUCGAUAGGAACGGGCGCAGGAGGUUCGGAGUCUGUGGCCGGAGAAGGAUGUGGCAGUUUAGCAACACGGCUCUCGUGAAGGGUAAGGUCGAUGUUCGGCUCGAUCGCCGCUGAGGUUAAGGCCUCCGUGGCGGGGUCCAUCCACCCGUCCAUGGACGGCGCAACUGGCUCCGAAUAGAGGGUCGGAGCGGCUGCCGGUGCGAUCUCCUGAACACUGUCUGAUGGUAGAGCUAAAUGUACUCAUCGUGACCGCGUGACGCACAAGGCAGAGGCUCGAAUCUGUAACAUCCCAAAUUUUCAAUUUGGAAUGUUAUACAUUAGAUCAUCAUGCAUAUCAUAUUUUAUUUGCUUUGGGUUUUGAUCCUAGAAAAUUCUAAGCAACUCAAGGACCCACGGAGAGAGUUGGAGAUUUCGUUAUUUUCAUAUUUGAGUUUUUCUCAAAUUUUGAGAAUAGGAUCAUUCGAUUUUAUUUAUUUUAUCAUCAAUUAUUUCUAUUACAAAAAUAUGAGAGAGGGAAUAAAAUGACUUUCCCAAAAUAUAAAAAUAUUGAUGAUUUAAUAAAAAAAUAAAAUAGUUUUAUUUCGGAGUUUUUUUUGUUGUUUUUAUUUGAAUUAGGAAAAAUGCGCAUUUUUCAAAAUUGCAUUUAGGGCCCAAAUAAAUGUUCACUUUGUCGGGCUUGAUUUUAGAAGCCCGGUAAAAUUUACUUCGGGAUUUUUGGAGUCCGUUUAGUAUUUCUUUUUAUUUUCUUUCUUCCGAGCGAAAAAAAACGGAAUCGACUAUGGGCCGUACUCGGCCAGGACUCUGCCUGUCCGGGGCCUUUAUAAGCCGGGGCAAGCCAGCCCGAAGGCCCAGCCGCCCUGAAACCCUAGCCGCCAGCCCCCGCCGCCCCGCCGCCGCCGGCGAUCCGCCGGAGCCGCGCGUUGCCCGAUGUUUGCUGCACCUCAAAAUCCGUGCCAUUUAAAAAAAAUUCCGUUUGUCAUUUUUCUUUUUCGUCGGAUUUUUCCGCGGUUAUUUUCUGACCGCGAUUUCUGAUCCAAUUUUCGUUUUAGUUUAACUUUUCGCUCGUUUAUCGGAAUCAGGCGAUUCAAGCGCCUGGAGUUUCGUCUCGAAACCCUCUAUCAGAAUAAUCAACUUAAACAAGUUUUUGCUACUGUAAAAUUUGACUUAGGUUCAGAUUACUAGAACGAAGUUGUUUUCUUUCGCCGUUUGACUUUCUUUGCUUCGUUCGAUUCGAUUCCUUUUGCCAACCGGAGUUCUUAAGUUGAACCUUCUGGUUAGAUCUCUUAUUUGAGUUUUACCUGUGCAUUAGAUGAGUACUUAUUGUAUGCUUUUUGUUUGCCUGCGAUAGAGUGCCCGGAGUUCGCCGCCUGUUACUUCGAAUCGUUAGGUUUCACGGAUCAUCAGCAAGGCAAGUAACACUUUGAUCAUACCUUUUCUACAACCCAGUUUUUUUGCAUUAGAUCAGUCUUCACACAUUGCAUGAUUAAGAUCUAAUUAAACUGUGGGAUGGGAAGUAAAUGAGGUAGUACCUAUUACCUGUUUAUUAUCAAACCUUUAGGAGUUACUUCUACGUUGCUUAUUAUGCCAUGCUAUGCUAGUAGACGUGGAUUGGGUGAGUGAAGUCCAUGACAGAUGUGAGAUUGAUAAUUAAUGGUUUAUCUAAGGUGGCAACUGAAAUACACAUCUGGGUGGAUUGAGGCACCUGGAUAUUCCAGGACCUGCCUGUUUUCUUUUGGACCGCCACCCAGGCUCAAAGGGAUCAUGAGAUUUUUUCAAACUAGAAACUUCCGUGUGCAGCCACAAGCCAUUAUGGGCUCUGGCAUAGUUGAUUAAGUCGUGCGAACUCUUACAGGGUAGACUAGCAGAUGUAGGGGAAAGUAGGUGUACCGGUCUAUCCAUCGUAAGGUGCUAGCGCUUCUGAAAGACUGUGUCUCGGUCAUCCGUUUCUCAAACACCAUGUAGUGCGAGAAAUCCAACGGAGGCGAUCGAGUCUUGUGGGGAAAAGUGCGCAAACCUCUACAGAGUGUAACAAACUAAUCAUGAUUAGCCGUGUCCCCGGUUAUGGACAUCUUGAGUAUCUAGUAUCUGGAUUAUCAUGUGAAUCUCAACAUGUUACUCUAAAAUUAAUGUUGUUGGGUUAAUGAUGAUGCUUAAUUGGGAUUGAGAAUGCUGUCAACCAUUCUCAAUGUUUAACAACCACCAUGAUAGUAAUUAAAUUUAUUCCUUUUGAAGUAGGGAAAAAUUGGCUUUAUGCAAAACUGUAACCAUAGAGCUUUCCACCAGCCAAAUAUGCAUAUAGUAUAGAUGUUGCAUUCCAUUACUCUCUAUGUGUUACCUUGCCAGCAUAUUCCAUGUGCUGACCCGUUUUCGGGCUGCAACGUUAAUGUUGCAGACUUUUUAAACGACGAUUAAGGAGUUUUUAGGUUGUGGUUCUAUACUCAGUGAUGCCGUUGGAGUUGAUGGACUCACUUAUCUUCCAAGCCUUCCGCUAUUAUCGUAAUUAGAUGGCCUUAAGCCAUAUUUAUUGUAGUAAGUUCUCUUUUGAGACACUCGAUGUAAUAAGUGUGUGAUUGCUACUCUGCUAUAAAUCCUCCGAGUACUGUGUGGUGUCAGCAUUACUGAUCCAGGAAUGACACCGGAGCACAGAGAUCAGACUGUUUGAGGUCUGGUCGCUACAGAGAUGGUAUCAGAGCACACGCUGACUGUAGGACACGACCACUAAGCUAAAGACCUAGAUCACUACUCACUCUCUUCUCUUCUGACCUCUCAUCUUUUCUACUCUUUAGGAUGGCGGAUGCAAGGAACAAGUUCACCUAACCAGAUGAAGAUACACCCUUUGGAUGCCACUUGAAGGAAGUCACUAGAUACCUGAACAUAGGAGUACCAAGCUUCACAGGAACCUACAAUGCCACUUUACCUGAAGAAGAGCGCUGGAUGAUUCAAGUUAAAAUCCCAGGAAGGACGUUCAUGCCAGUCAUUGAGCCCAUAGAGUUUUCUUUUAAUGCACCAACUUGGAGUCUAGGAAAGAGCAUGGCAGCUCACAUCGCCAUGGGACGCAUUGGAGAAGUCUACCGCAAGGAUCUUAAGGAUACUAUAUACCAGAUUCGUGGGCGCCGAGAUGAACACUGGGAGAUGAUCAACACCAGGAAAUAUAGAUCAAUUGCAGCUUUUAUCCAAGAGUUAAACCAGCACAUUCGACGACAGAAGAAUCAGAUGUGCGCCGACAUGAUAGACCUAAAGAAGGCUAAGACUAGAAUCAAGGAACUGGAGGAAGAACUCAAGGCUACACACAAAGAUUAUGAAGAAGAAAUUGAAGUAUUGGUGGAGAAGAAUGACGACCUGAUCAAGAAGAUUGGAAUAUUUAUGGGAGGCCCGACACCAGUAGAUGAAGACGAAGAACCCAAGGAGAUUAGCCCGGAAGACUACAUCAUCAUUGACGGCACCGACUCGGAACAAGAUAGUAGCAAUGAUGAUUAUGUUGAUGAAGCAGGAGCAGAUAUCAUGGAGUCUACAACCGUAGAAUAUUUCUAGUAUACCACCUCAUCAGUAGUAGUAGUCCACCAUGUAAAUAUAGUAGUCCGAGCACUUUGCGAUAGUUAGAUUGAUUGUAUGCCUUUAUUUGUUUGAAUGAAGUGAAUUGUUUGCUUUUGCCUCAUGUGCAUAUGGGUAGUGUUUUCUCUUUAGACCCCCUCUAUUCUUAUAUCUCAUCUUUUCUAAACCUCAGAUGCCUCCGAGACAUGACCCCGGAUUUGCCUUUCCGCCGGAGCUCACCCAGUUGAUCCAGCAGCAGAACACCUUGAUGCAGUUGCUAGUCUAGAAUCAGAAUCAGGGGAACAACAACAACAACCCACCACCACCACCACCUGUUGACCACUUAGCCCGCUUUCUUAGGCUGAAUCCGCCGGUGUUUUCCAGUAGCACCGAGCCGAUAAUAGCAGAUGAUUGGCUCCGCAAGACAGCUAGGGAGUUGACCACAACAGGAUGCACAGAUGCGGAGAAGGUGAAGUUUGCCGCACAUCAGUUAGAAGGACCCGCAGCAUCAUGGUGGGAGAAUUUCACAGCCACCUUUCCAGUCGACACUGUCACAUGGGAUCAAUUUCAGCAGGCUUUCUGUACUGCCCAUGUUUCAGCAGGAGCUAUGGCCAUGAAGAAGCGUGAGUUUCAUAACUUGCGCCAAGGAGGACGGACAGUUGGCCAGUAUGUGGAGGAGUUUAGUAAGCUAGCACGUUAUGCCCCAGACGAUGUUGCUAUGGAUGCAGCUAAGCAGGAGAAGUUCCUGGAAGGACUGAAUGAUGAGUUGAGUAUGCAGUUGAUGGUAGCCACCUUCAACAACUACCAGGAGUUGGUAGACCGUGCUCUUAUGAUUGAAGGGAAGCAGCAGCAAAUUGAGAACCGCAAGAGGAAGUAUGGACAAGGAAAGUAUAAUUCAGGAGCUCAGCAGAAGCCACGUUUUACCCCUAGACCGGGAGGACAUUUUCAGCAUACCCAUGGAGUAGGUAGCUCGCACAAUCACAAUGGCACCAAGAAUGGUAAUGGGAAUGGAGGAAGCAAUGGCUAGAACCGCAGCACCCCAUCAACCCCAGCCAAGAGAGAUCUGAGUCAAGUCACCUGUUUCAAGUGUUCCAAGGCCGGACAUUAUGCCAAUGAAUGUCCUGAAGGCCAAAACGGCAAUGGAAGUUCUGGGAAGAAGCCGAACCCUUUCAACAGGGGACAGGUGAACCACAUUAAUGUGGAGGAGGUUGAAGCUCAGCCCGAUGCAGUAAUAGGUAAGUUUUUGGUUAUGUCAUUUACUGCACUCGUUCUUUUUGAUACUGGUGCAUCGCAUUCAUACAUAUCAAGGGGAUUUGUGGAGAAGUAUAGCCUACCCACUAGGGUUCUCAAAACACCUAUGCUAGUAAGCUCACCAGGAGCAAAGUACAUGGCCAGUCAAGGAUGUUUUCAAGUGCCAUUAAGUAUAGGACGACAUGUUUUCCCAACAGAUUUAAUUAUUCUGGAAUCUCAAGGUCUGGAUGUGAUUCUUGGUAUGGAUUGGCUGUCGAUGUAUGGAGGAAACAUCAAUUGUGCUAGUAAGUCAGUUUUGCUUACCACCCCAGAAGGGAGAAGGAUCAAGUAUGUAUCCCGGCAUGCGCCAAACAAGAACACAAGUAAAUUCAUUAACAGGAGUUGUGCAGGAGGAAGUACCAGUGGUAAGGGAAUUCCCUGAUGUAUUUCCAGAGGAGUUGCCAGGCAUGCCACCGGAUAGAGAUAUUGAGUUCUUGAUUGAGCUAUUGCCAGGCACAGGGCCAAUAUCAAAGAGACCAUAUAGGAUGCCAGCAAAGGAUUUGGUGGAAAUUAAGAAACAGAUUAAGGAGUUACUGGAUAAAGGUUACAUUCGCCCAAGUUCUUCACCUUGGGGAUCACCAGUACUAUUAGUAGAGAAGAAGGAUGGAUCGUUAAGGAUGGUUGUUGAUUAUCGAGGAUUGAAUGAAGUAACAAUCAAGAACAAGUACCCGCUACCAAUGAUUAAUGAUCUGUUUGAUUGAUUGCAAGGAGCUAAAGUGUUUUCCAAGAUCAAUUUGCGAUCAGGGUACCACCAGUUGAAGAUUCGAGAACAGGAUAUUCCGAAGACAGCUUUUACCACCAGGUAUGGGCUGUAUGAGUAUACCGUUAUGUCAUUUGGUCUGACUAACGCGCCUGCCUAUUUUAUGAACAUGAUGAACAAAGUGUUUAUGGAGUUUUUGGAUAAGUUCAUCAUAGUGUUCAUUGAUGAUAUCCUGGUUUAUUCAAAGAAUGAAGAGGAACAUAAGGAGCAUUUGCGUUUGGUACUUGGAAAGCUCAGAGAACAUCAAUUAUAUGCCAAGUUCAGCAAAUGUGAGUUUUGGUUGAAGGAAGUAGGAUUCCUCGGACACGUUAUAUCUGGAGAAGGUAUAGCUGUUGAUCCCACUAAACUUGAUACCGUGACCAAGUGGGAAGCCCCAACUACCGUUGGAGAGAUCCGGAGUUUUCUUGGACUCGCAGGAUACUACCGGAGGUUUAUUGAAUUUUUUUCAAAGAUUUCGAAGCCUAUGACGGAGUUGUUGAAGAAAGAUACCAAGUUCAAAUGGACUGAGCAGUGUGAGGCUAGUUUCCAGGAGUUGAAGAAACGCUUGGUUACCUCACCAGUGUUGAUUUUGCCAGAUCAGACCAAGGAUUAUGAGGUGUAUUGCGACGCUUCACGUCGAGGACUUGGAGCAGUGCUUAUGCAGGAAGGGAGAGUUGUUUCAUAUGCCUCAAGACAACUGAAGCCCCAUGAGUUGAAUUACGCUACGCAUGAUUCGGAGUUAGCAUCCGUAGUGCAUGCCUUGGAGACAUGGAGACAUUUCCUCAUCGGAAAUCAUUGUGAGGUGUACACCGAUCAUAAGAGUUUGAAGUACAUUUUCACACAGAAGUAGUUGAACCUCAGACAAAGGAGAUGGUUGGAGCUCAAGGAUUAUGAUAUGAGAUUGCAUUAUCAUCCCGGGAAGGCUAAUGUAGUAGCUGAUGCAUUAAGCCGCAAGAGCCAUGUCAAUACGUUAAUGACGGGAGAAAUACCCAAGGAGUUAGCAGAAAAUCUUCGUGAACUAUGUUUGGAAAUAGUUCCGAGAGGCUAUGUAGUAGCGUUGGAAAUUCAGUCAACUUUGAUGGACAGAAUCAGGGAAGCUCAGAAGACUGACAAGGAGAUUGCUUCCAUAAAGGAGAAAAUGAAAGAAGGAAAAGCUAAAGGAUUUCGUGAGGAUGAGCACGAUACCCUAUGGUUUGAAGACCGUGUCUAUGUGCCCAAUGACCCGGAGAUCAGGAAGUUAAUUCUGCAAGAGGCCCAUGAUUCACCCUAUUCGAUUCACCUAGGGAAUACCAAGAUGUAUCUGGAUUUGAAGGAUAUUUUCUGGCGGACCGGAAUGAAGAAAGAAAUAGCAGAGUAUGUAGCAGUUUGUGAUGUAUGCCAGAGAGUAAAGGCAGAGCAUCAGAAGCCAGCAGGAUUGUUACAACCAUUGCCGAUACCCGAAUGGUAGUGGGAUAAGUUAGGCAUGGAUUUUAUCACGGGAUUGCCCAUGACUCGUUCAGGCUAUGACUCGAUUUGGGUUGUAGUCGAUCGAUUGACGAAAGUAGCUCAUUUCAUCCCAGUAAAGACCACUUAUACCAUUUCUAAGUUGGCAAAAAUAUACAUGACCAGAAUAGUAUGUCUGCAUGGAGUUCCGAGGAGUAUCGUAUCAGAUAGAGGAACCCAGUUUACCUCAAAGUUCUGGAAGCAGUUGCACGAAACUUUGGGAACCAGGCUAAAAUUCAGUACAGCUUUUCAUCCGUAGACAGAUGGGCAGACCGAGAGAGUCAAUCAGAUUUUGGAGGAUAUGCUGAGAGCUUGUGCGCUAGAUUAUGGAUCUAGUUGGGACAAUAAUUUGCCAUAUGCAGAGUUCUCUUACAACAACAGUUACCAAACCAGUUUGAAGAUGGCCCCUUUCGAAGUUUGUACGGAAGGAGGUGCAGGACACCGUUGUCGUGGGACGAAGUUGGAGACCAUCAGUUGUUUGGACCUGACUUGAUUAAGGAGUCUGAACAGAAAGUGAAGUUGAUUCACGAUAGGCUCAAGGUAGCCCAGUCCAGACAGAAGAGUUAUGCAGAUUCUAAACGCAAGGAGACAGUUUACGAAGUUGGAGACAGAGCUUAUCUUCGAGUAUCUCCACUUCGGGGAACAAAGCGUUUUGGAGUUAAAGGGAAGUUAGCGCCACGAUUUGUAGGACCAUAUCGAAUUUUGGAGCGUAUGGGAGAAGUGGCCUACAUGUUGAAAUUGCCCGAAGGAUUGUCAGGAAUUCAUGAUGUGUUCCACGUUUCUCAGUUAAAGAAGUGUCACGCGGAGAUGGCUGACAUACCAUUGAGAGACACAGUGCCUUUGGAAACUAUUCAGUUGGAUAACGAUUUGACCUACGAGGAGAAACCAGUUAAGAUCCUCGAGUUUGCCAGCCGAGUUACUCGCAGCAAAGUUAUCAAGUUUUGCAAGGUUCAGUGGAGCCACCACACGAAGGAUGAAGCCACCUGGGAACGAGAGGAAGAUUUGCUCAAAGACCACCCUCACCUAUUUUCUAGCCAACCCGAAUCUCGAGGGCGAGAUUCAUCUUAAGGGGGGUAGGUUUGUAACAUCCCAAAUUUUCAAUUUGGAAUGUUAUACAUUAGAUCAUCAUGCAUAUCAUAUUUUAUUUGCUUUGGGUUUUGAUCCUAGAAAAUUCCAAGCAACUCAAGGACCCACGGAGAGAGUUGGGGAUUUCGUUAUUUUCAUAUUUGAGUUUUUCUCAAAUUUUGAGAAUAGGAUCAUUUGAUUUUAUUUAUUUUAUCAUCAAUUAUUUCUAUUACAAAAUAUGAGAGAGGGAAUAAAAUGACUUUCCCAAAAUAUAGAAAUAUUGAGGAUUUAAUAAAAAAAUCAAAUAGUUUUAUUUCAGAGUUUUUUUUGUUGUUUUUAUUUGAAUUAGGAAAAUGCACGUUUUUCAAAAUUGCAUUUAGGGCCCAAAUAAAUGUUCACUUUGUCGGGCUUGAUUUUAGAAGCCCGGGAAAAUUUAUUUCGGGAUUUUUGGAGUCCGUUUAGUAUUUAUUUUUAUUUUUUUUCUUCCGAGCGAAAAAAAAACGGAACCGACUAUGGGCCGUACUCGGCCAGGACUCCGCCUGGCCGGGGCCUUUAUAAGUCGGGGCAAGCCAGCCCGAAGGCCCAGCCGCCCCGAAACCCUAGCCGCGCCCUAACCCUAGCCGCCAGCCGCCGCCGCCAGCCGCCGCCGCGCGUCGCCUGAGGUUUGCCGCACCUCAAAAUCCGUGCCGUUUAAAAAAAAUGAUUCCGUUCGUCGUUUUUCUUUUUCGUCGGAUUUUUCCGCGGUUAUUUUCUGAUCCGAUUUCUGAUCCGAUUUUUGGUUUAGUUUAACUUUUCACUCGUUUAUCGGAAUCAGGCGAUUCAAGCGCCUGGAGUUUCGUCUCGAAACCCUCUAUCCGAAUAAUCAACUUAAACAAGUUUUUGCUACUGUAAAAUUUGACUUUGGUUCAGAUUACUAGAAUGAAGUUGUUUUCUUUCGCCGUUUGACUUUCUUUGCUUCGUUCGAUUUGAUUCCUUUUGCCAACCGGAGUUCUUAAGUUGAACCUUCUGGUUAGAUCUCUUAUUUGAGUUUUACCUGUGCAUUAGAUGAGUACUUAUUGUAUGCUUUUUGUUUGCCUGCGAUAGAGUACCCGGAGUGCGCCGCCUGUUACUUUGAAUCGUUAGGUUUCACGGAUCAUCAGCAAGGCAAGUAACACUUUGAUCAUACCUUUUCUACAACCCAGUUUUUUUUGCAUUAGAUCAAUCUUCACACAUUGCAUGAUUAGGAUCUAAUUAAACUGUGGGAUGGGAAGUAGAUGAGGUAGUACCUAUUACCUGUUUAUUAUCAAACCUUUGGGAGUUACUUCUACGUUGCUUAUUAUGCCAUGCUAUGCUAGUAGACGUGGAUUGGGUGAGUGAAAUCCAUGACAGAUGUGAGAUUGAUAAUUAAUGGUUUAUCUAAGGUGGCAACUGAAAUACACAUCUGGGUGGAUUGAGGCACCUGGAUAUUCCAGGACCUGCCUGUUUUCUUUUGGACCACCACCCAGGCUCAAAGGGAUCAUGAGAUUUUUUCAAACUAGAAACUUCCGUGUGCAGCCACAAGCCAUUAUGGGCUCUGGCAUAGUUGAUUAAGUCGUGCGAACUCUUACAGGGUAGACUAGCAGAUGUAGGGGAAAGUAGGUGUACCGGUCUAUCCAUCGUAAGGUGCUAGCACUUCUGAAAGACUGUGUCUCGGUCAUCCGUUUCUCAAACACCAUGUAGUGCGAGAAAUCCAACGGAGGCGAUCGAGUCUUGUGGGGAAAAGUGUGCAAACCUCUGCAGAGUGUAACAAACUAAUCAUGAUUAGCCGUGUCCCCGAUUAUGGACAUCUUGAGUAUCUAGUAUCUGGAUUAUCAUGUGAAUCUCAACAUGUUACUCUAAAAUUAAUGUUGUUGGGUUAAUGAUGAUGCUUAAUUGGGAUUGAGAAUGCUGUCAACCAUUCUCAAUGUUUAACAACCACCAUGAUAGUAAUUAAAUUUAUUCCUUUUGAAGUAGGGAAAAAUUGGCUUUAUACAAAACUGUAACCAUAGAGCUUUCCACCAGCCAAAUAUGCAUAUAGUAUAGCUGUUGCAUUCCAUUACUCUCUAUGUGUUACCUUGCCAACAUAUUCCAUGUGCUGACCCGUUUUCGGGCUGCAACGUUAAUGUUGCAGACUUUUCAGACAAUGAUUAAGGAGUUUUUAGGUCGUGGUUCUAUACUCAGUGAUGCCGUUGGAGUUGAUGGACUCACUUAUCUUCCAAGCCUUCUGCUGUUAUCGUAAUUAGAUGGCCUUAAACCAUAUUUAUUGUAAUAAGUUCUCUUUUGAGACACUCGAUGUAAUAAGUGUGUGAUUGCUACUCUGUUAUAAAUCCUCCGAGUAUUGUGUGGUGUCAGCAUUACUGAUCCAGGGAUGACACCAGAGCACAGAGAUCAGACUGUUUGAGGUCUGGUCGCUACAGAAUCCGUCGAAGAUCAAGUUUCCGUGGAUAUCGGCCGUGUAGUUUAAGCUUCCAAACCUGACCUGGUGGCCAGGGCGUAACUUUCGAUCUGCUCCAGAUGGCCAAGUGAGUUGGCCCGCAGUGCGAAGCCGCCGAACACAAAGAUCUGUCUGGGGAGAAAAGUCUCACCCUGGACUGCAUCACUAUCGAUGAUCGUAGGAGCCAUCAAGCCUAAUGGCGAUGACACGGAGGAACUCUCAAUGAAAGCACCAAUGUCGGUGUCAAAACCGGCAGAUCUCGGGUAGGGGGUCCCGAACUGUGCGUCUAAGGCGGAUGGUAAUAGGAGGCAGGGACACGAUGUUUUACCCAGGUUCGGGCCCUCUUGAUGGAGGUAAUACCCUACGUCCUGCUUGAUUUAUUCUUGAUGAUAUGAGUAUUACAAGAGUUGAUCUACCACGAGAUCGGAGAGGCUAAACCCUAGAAGCUAGCCUAUGGUAUGAUUGUAUGUUGUCCUACGGACUAAAACCCUCCGGUUUAUAUAGACACCGGAGGGGCUAGGGUUACACAAGGUCGGUUACAAAGGAGGAGAUAUCCAUAUCCGUAUUGCCUAGGUUGCCUUCCACGCCAAGGAGAGUCCCAUCCAGACACGAGACGAAGUCUUCAAUCUUGUAUCUUCAUAGUCCAAUAGUCCGGCCAAAGGAUAUAGUCCGGCUGUCUAGAGACCCCCUAAUCCAAGACUCCCUCAGAGGCCAUGGACCAAAGGGGAAACCCUUCUCCCAUAUAGGGAGAAGGUCAAGGAAGAAGAAGAAGAAGGGGGGAGUUCUCUCCCCCUCUCUCCCGAUGGCGCCGGAACGCCGCCGGGGCCAUCAUCAUCACCGCAAUCUACACCAACAACUUCACCGCCAUCAUCACCAACUCUUCUCCCCUCUAUGCAGCGGUGUAACCCCUCUUUUACCUGCUAUAAUCUCUACUUAAACAUGGUGCUGAACGCUAUAUAUUGUUUCCCAAUGAUGUAUGGCUAUCCUAUGAUGUUUGAGUAGAUCUGUUUUGUCCUAUGGGUUAAUUGAUGAUCGUGAUUGGUUUGAGUUGCAUGUUUUAUUAUUGGUGCUAUCCUAUGGUGCUCUCCAUGUCGCGCAAGCGUGAGGGAUCCCCACUGUAGGGUUUGCAAUAUGUUCAUGAUUUGCUUAUGGUGGGUGGCAUGAGUGACAGAAGCACAGACCCGAGUAAGUAGGUUGUUUGCGUAUGGGAAUAAAUAGGACUUGAUACUUUAAUGCUAUGGUUGGGUUUUACCUUAAUGAUCUUUAGUAGUUGCGGAUGCUUGCUAGAGUUUCAAUCAUAAGUGCAUAUGAUCCAAGAAGAGAAAGUAUGUUAGCUUAUGCCUCUCCCUCAGAUAAAAUUGCAAUAAUGAUUACCUGUCUAGUUAUCGAUUGCCUAGGGACAAAUAACUUUCUCGUGACAAAAAGCUCUCUACUAAAACUAACUUAGUUGUGUCUUUAUCUAAACAGCCCCUACUUUUUAUUUACGCGCUCUUUAUUUUCUUGCAAACCUAUCCAACAAAACCUACAAAAUACUUCUAGUUUCAUACUUGUUGUAGGUAAAGCAAACGUUAAGCGUGCGUAGAGUUGUAUCGGUGGUCGAUAGAACUUGAGGGAAUAUUUGUUCUACCUUUAGGUCCUCGUUGGGUUCGACACUCUUACUUAUCGAAAGAGGCUACAAUUGAUCCCCUAUACUUGUGGGUUAUCAAGACCUUUUUCUAGCGCCGUUGCCGGGGAGUUAUAGCGUGGGGUGAAUAUUCUCGUGUGUUCUUGUUUGCUUUAUCACUAAGUAGAUUUUAUUUGCUGUUCUAAGUUGUUUUCUAUGUUUAAUUAUGGGUAGGAAACGUAAAAUACCAAAAAAAAUAGUUGUACCUAGUACACCAAUGGUUGAAGAGCCACUCAAAAUCUAUCACACUCCUGAAGCUUUUUACUUGGAUCAUCUUCGAUCCCUUUGUGCUCGUGCUAAAACCCCAACUAGUUUAGUUGAGGGAAAAUAUUUAGAUGAGCAUGCUUGUUAUGUGCGACACUGCUUAUCUCAAAAAGGGAAACUUUUACUGGAUCAAAUUCAUCGUUUGCAAUGCUAUGCUUGGAAUUUAUGUGAAAUAUAUGAUGUUACUUGUUGUUCUGAAAACCCUAAGAAACACCUUCGCUACCAAUGUGAGUUUAGUGAUAAUGGAAUUGUAUCUUCGUAUGCUAAGGGUGUUUAUAAUUAUUAUGAUGUUCAACAAAUUGAAGAAUUUGUUGCUUUUAAGGGUGCUUAUGAAAUUGCUUGUUUGAUUGAAAAGUAUGAUGCUACUCUUUACAAAUCUGAAAAUUUUGCCAUACUUGAAUAUUGUUAUGAUAAUUAUGCUUCUAAUGCCUAUGUUAAACCUUAUAUUGAGGACUCCUCCGCUGUCCAAGAAGAGACUAAUAUUUUGCACGAGUCUAUGGAAGAAGAAAUUGAUGAAACCAUGAGCUCAUUGGAUGAAAAAGAGGAUGAGGAGAGCGAAGAACAAAAGGAGGAAGAUCGGAUUGAUCACUUGUGCCCACCUUCUAAUGAGAGUACCUCUUCAACUCAUACAUUGUUUAAUUUCCCUUCGUGCUUACCGAAGGAUGAUUGCUAUGAUGACUGUUAUGAUCCCGUUGAUUCUCUUGAAAAAUCCCUUUUUGAUGAUGCUUGCUAUGCUUGUGGCCAAGAUGCCAAUAUGAAUUAUGCUUAUGGAGAUGAACUUGCUAUAGUUACUUAUGUUAAACAUGAAAUUGUUGCUAUUGCACCCACGCAUGAUAGUCCGAUUAUCUUUUUGAAUUCUCCCGACUACACUAUAUCGGAGAAGUUUACCCUUAUUAAGGAUUAUAUUGAUGGGUUGCGUUUUACUACUACACAUGAUGAUUUUGAUAGAUAUAAUAUGCAUGUGCUUGCUGCUCCUACUUGCAAUUAUUAUGAGAGAGGAACUACACCUCCGCCUCUCCGUGUUUCCAAUAUGAUAAAAUUGCAAGAAACUGUUUAUACUAUGCAUUGGCCUUUACUAUGUGUGCUUGAAUUGUUCUUUUAUGACAUGCCGAUGCAUAGGAAGAGAGUUAGACUCUGUUUUUGCAUGAUAUAUGUUACUUUGUGCUCACUACUAAAUGCCAAAUCAUUGCUAAUUCAAAUUGGCUUUGAUAUACCUUGGAAUCCGGGUGGAUCCAUUACUUGAGCACCUUAUGCCUAGCUUAAUGGCUUUAAAGAAAGCGCUGCCAGGGAGACAACCUGGAAGUUUUAGAGAGUCAUUUAUUUCUGUUGUGUUCUAUUAUAAAGUUUAAAAACAAAAAAAUAAAGAGGGGAACCCAAAACUUCUUCAAAAAGGAAAGUGAAAGUGAGAGAGACAAGCAUUAUUGAAGUGGGGGAGCUCCUUGAACUUUGUUCAUGCUCAUAGAAACUUUGUGAAUCUUUAUUACAGAAAAUUUUCAACUAAAAUAAUUAUCCCCUUGUAAAUUCCAUUAUGUAAUAAAAAUAAUGUUCCAAGAUUUGCCUCUAGGAUGUUUUAGAUGCUUGUUGGUUUGUACGGUGCAGGACAGAAAUUUUGGCUGUAGUGCGCGAUUUUACAUUUUUUACUGGAACGUCAAACGGCUCUGAAACUUUUUGCACUGUCUUUCUAUACAAAGUUUUUAUUUUUCCUAAUUUUGGUAGAAUUGUUUAAGUACCAGAGGUAUGGUGAAUGUUCAUAUUAUUACAGACUGUUCUGUUUUAGACAGAUUCUGUUUUUGAUGUAUAGUUUGCUUGUUUUGAUGAAACUAUCGAUUUAUAUCAGUGGAUUAAGCCAUGUAAAAGUUAUAUUACAGUAUCUAAAAUGCAAAAACAAAAUAUGAAUUGGUUUGCAACAGUACUUAGAGUAGUGAUUUUCUUUAUUAUACUAACGGAUCUUACCGAGUUUUCUGUUGAGUUUUGUGUAUUGAAGUUUUCAUGUUUUGGGAGAGAUCACGAUGGAUGAAGGAAUAAGGAGUGGCAAGAGCCUAAGCUUGGGGAUGCCCGAGGCACCCCAAGGAAAUAUUCAAGGACUCCCAAGCAACCAAGCUUGGGGAUGCUCCGGAAGGCAUCCCCUCUUUCUUCUAACGAUCAUCGGUAAUUUCACUUGGAGCUAUAUUUUUAUUCGUCACAUGAUAUGCGUAAAUCUUGGAGCGUCUUUUGCAUUUAGUUUUCACUUUUCUUUGAUGCACCAUGCUGGUAUGAGAUAGUCCAUGGUUGAUUUAUAGAAUGCUCUUUGCACUUCACUUAUAUCUUUUGAGUUGGCUUUGUAGAAUGCUUCAUGUGCUUCACUUAUAUCAUUUGGAGUUUGGAUUGCCUGUUUCUCUUCACAUAGAAAACCGCCAUUUGUAGAAUGAUCUUUUGCUUCACUUAUAUUUGCUAGAGCAUGGGCAUAUAUUUUGUAGAAAUAAAUAAACUCUCUUUCUUCACUUAUAUUUAUUUAGAGAGAUGACAGGAACUGGUCAUUCACAUGGUUAGUCAUAAAAUCCUACAUAAAACUUGUAGAUCACUGAAUAUGAUAUGUUUGAUUCCUUGCAAUAGUUUUGCGAUAUAAAGAUGGUGAUAUUAGAGUCAUGCUAGUGGGUAGUUGUGGAUUGUAGAAAUACUUGUGUUGAAGUUUGUGAUUCCCAUAGCAUGCACGUAUGGUGAACCGUUAUGUGAUGAAGUCGGAGCAUGAGGUAUUUAUUGAUUGUCUUCCUUAUGAGUGGCGGUCGGGGACGAGCGAUGGUCUUUUACUACCAAUCUAUCCCCCUAGGAGCAUGCGCGUAGUACUUUGUUUUGAUGACUAAUAGAUUUUUUCAAUAAGUAUGUGAGUUCUUUAUGACUAAUGUUGAGUCCAUGGAUUAUAUGCACUCUCACGCUUCCAUCAUUGCUAGCCUCUUCGGUACCGUGCAUUGCCCUUUCUCACCUCGAGAGUUGGUGCAAACUUCGCCGGUGCAUCCAAACCCUGUGAUACGAUACGCUCUAUCACCCAUAAACCUCCUUAUAUCUUCCUCAAAACAGCCACCAUACCUACCUAUCAUGGCAUUUCCAUAGCCAUUCCGAGAUAAUAUUGCCAUGCAACUUCCAUCAUCAUCAUAUACAUGACUUGAGCAUCAUUGUCAUAUUGCUUUGCAUGAUCAUAAGAUAGCUAGCAUGAUCAUUUCAUGGCUUAUCCAUUUUUUGAUGUCAUUGCUACACUAGAUCAUUGCACAUCCUGGUACACCGCCGGAGGCAUUCAUAUAGAGCCAUAUUUUGUUCUAGUAUCGAGUUGUAAUAUUGAGUUGUAAGUAAAUAAAAGUGUGAUGAUCAUCAUUAUUAGAGAAUUGUGCCAUGUGAGGGAAGGAUGAUGGAAGCUAUGAUUCCCUCACAAGUUGCGAUGAGUCUCCGAACUUUACAAAAAAAAGAGGCCAAAGAAGCCCACCAAAAAAAGAAAAAAAC